CACACUCCAUUAAUACACGAAACUGUUCAACAGUUCAGCAAAGCUGAUACUAAUAACUUCAGCUUAAACUGCGGAAAAGAGUUUUAUCUUACAACAACAGCAAGCCAUCAUCAUGGUUUGUUUGCUUCUAUCGACACGAGACACACAACAGGAUAACUAAAAAAGUAGUCGCAGCGGCUCUCAACUCGGACAUUUUUACGACAGCUAACAGCUUUCUCACUCUCUUCUCUUCUCUAGUGCUAAAUUUGUACAGUGAUCAGAGUAACAUGUUCAAACAUACUCCACCCUCUUCCUCCUCUUUACAGCUUAGUCUCUCAGAUUAGUCUUUGCCUCCUCACCUACAGAAUGUACACUCUCUCCAGUGCAACCAAGAUUUGUAUCUUAUUCAUGCCGGUACCAUUACUAGUCGAUCUUAUAGGGUUUUCAGUUGUUGGGGGGAACACGCGAGCGCAAACCUAGCCACUGUUAGCUGUACAACUGCAUAGUUCCACCCUUCAGGCGGCGGUGCAUGCUGGUUGAAGCCCCUGGCGCUUCUCUGCAUCAACAAGAGCAAGACAGACAUAUGAUUAGCAUAUGUAAGAUCUUCAUGCUGAAUCUGUACAUAUUUAUGACAAAACAUACCUCCAGCAGCAACUAGCUUCUCUACACGCGCGACUAUGUGCUUCCCAUAGGUGUACUUCUUCAGUGUAUUCAGGUGAGCUUUGAUCCUUGUAAGGAUCAUCUCUCUCUGCUGGUCAUCACAAGUCUCCAACACCUUCUGCACCACAUAGUUUGCAAACUGAUCUUUCAUCAUCACCUGCAAGGACAUAUGCAUGUAGAUCAGCAAGGUUAACAAAUAUCUGGCAUGUAGAUUCUCUUGGGAGCUUGGUAAAAAAUGUUGAAAGAACACAGACCUCAAGAGGUUCACUUUUAGUAGUAGACUCGAGCAUUUCACCAAUCAAGAUCUGCUGCUCUAUAGGGUUACCAAAAGCUAAGCACUUCUCAAUGACAUUUGAAGCAAACUUUUGCUGGCUCAUUUGCACAAUCUGCCCAAUUAACUUGUCAAUGAUAGCAGUUCUCUCAUGUGGCUUGCGAUGUUCCAGAACAUGCUGUAAAAGUUCAGCAAGCAUUGUCAAAAACAAAGUAUUGUGAAAAUGAGAACAAAAGGUUAAAAAUCUCAUAACUGAUAGUGCAAAAUCCACAUCUCAGCAUUCAUCAAUCAACAACAAACAGUAAGAAGUCAACAAAAGAUCCAAAUCCACGUGUUUACCAAUAAACAGUAAGCAUUAAGUAAGCAGAAAGAUCGGUGCAGCAGCCUACAGAUGCUACUGCCCAAACCAAAACAGAAGGCAGUCUAGUGCAGUUCGGCUUUUUAUCCAGGUUUUUUCGCUUUUGGGUGAAAAAAAUUAUUUUUGCUUGAAAAACGCGUUUUUUUUUUUGCUUUUACAAGAUGCACGACCAUGUCUCUUGGAAACUGCUUUCGCGAGAGGCACGGUUUUACUUUCGCGAGAGGUGAAAAAGGAAAAAAAUCGUUUUUUUUCUUCCACGAGAGGCACGGUUUUGCUUCGCGAGAGGCAAGGCCGUGCCUCUCGAAAGGAAAAAAAUGCGUAUUUUUUUUCAUUCGGCGAGAGGCACAACCAUGCCUCUCAGAAAAGGAAAAAUAAACGUGUUUUCUUUUUAUUUCCUUGGACGAGAGGCACGGUUUUGCUUUGGCUUGAGACAACGCCAUGCCUCUUGGAAAGAAAAAAAAUGUGUUUUCUUUUUUUCCUUCCGUGAGAGGCAUGGUUUUGCUUUCACGAGAGGCACAGCCGUGACUCUUUCGGAAAGAAAAAAAAAUGCUUCCGGUUUGGUUUUUUCGUCCGUUUUUAUUUGGUGAAAAAAAAAGUCAAAAACUAUCAAUAUGGGACCUAGUUUUGAAGAUCUCGACGCGAGAAAUUCAACGGUGAAAACGUUUCAAGAUUUGGACGCAUGGUUUAAGAGAUAAAACGUUUUGAACAAACGGAUCUACGAAAAAACAGAAAACUCCUGGGUUGUGACAAGUGGCAGACGUACAAUGCGCCGCAUGUCGCAACCUAAGAGAUAAGAAUGAUCUUUAAAAGGAGUACUCUUCAAUUAGUAAUUUCGCGAAUUGCGCCUGACAUGAACUGGGCCUCGGGCCAAAUAUGAAAGAACCGGUAUUGGGCCAUCGAAGGGUGGGGGCGUGGGCCAACAGUUUAAGGGGGUGUUUAAAAAACAGCUCGAGGGGAGUGAAUUAGCAGUCGUUGUACGGCUCCCUAAAAAAAUGCAAUCAUUGUAUGAUUUGCCUAAAAAGAAAAAAAAACAAUCAUUGCGUGACGAUCAUUUGCAGCUCGAGGGUAGCAGCACAACCCCUCAGAACAAAGCCGUGUUGGUUGGGUUGGUCACAAUCACCACAAUAUCUAAGCUCUUUCGAAAUUAAGCGUUGUGAGCGCUUCGGGGCUGGGAUGGUCAAAGCGACCACGUCUCUUUUUUUUUAGAAAAAUCACCUUGAUUUUCUUAGAAAAAUCAUGGUAUUUCAUUAGAUAAGUAGGUAUUGUUUUUUCUUGAACACACUACAGUUAAACUCACUCACAUACACGAGCAUACACUCAUCCCUAUAAAUGUAUGCACGCACAUCAUAUCCCAGUGAGUACCUCUGAGAGACUGAGCCGGCACAUCAUCUUGAAAUUGACAAAGUCUUCAGAAACACCUGCCGGCACAUCAUCUUGAGAUUGACAAAGUCUCCACAAACACCUUCAUAGUUGAUGAAAACAUCUCCUCCCACUGAACGCACAUUGCCGAAAGGUCUAGAAUAAAUCCAGGAAAAUGUGAGCACCAAUGUCAAGUAUGGGACUUCAACUCUGGUGGCAGGGGAUACCAAUGUCCUCCUAACCAUCCAAAAUUAGGUAUUGUUUACUAUUUGAGUCAACCAUCCAACUACGUGUGUCAAGCACUUGAUGUGUUACGUGUCACUUACUCCCUGAAAACCACGAAAUUUAUUUUAGAUCAGAGGGACUACUUUUUUGCGAGAGAAAAAAAGGGUUACAUGUCGCUCAUGUAUAUCUGGUACGAGGAAAAUUAAUGAUGCGGCCAACUAUAUCCACGCUUAUAAAAGUGAUGUACCAUCGUAUAGCGGCACGGUCACCGCCAGCUUGGCCCAUAACGGCCUCCUCUGUGUCAUGUGUCUGCAUGGGUGCUAUCAGUCCACCACCACGCCGCAUGCCCCGCUAGUCUCUCCAUAUUUCUCCCCUUCUCUCAUGGUGGUACACCCGAUCCAUCACCGCCUCCUCCGCACGACACAGUUGCACAAGCAUCUGACCCAUCACCUACUCCUCCGCAUCAUAUGGUUGCACGGGCGCCGCCAGUCCAUCACCACCUCCUCCGCACCACACGGUUGCACGGGCGUCCGUCCCACACCGCCUCCUCCGCACCACAAGGCUGCACGGGCUUUGCCUGUCCACCACCACACCACACACCACGCCCAUCACUCCAUCUUUGUCCCUUUCUUUUGUGCGAUUAACAUCCAACGACGACAACGCUCAGGGCAUAGAGACAACUAUAGUCUUCGGAACUUGGUCACCUUCAUCAAUACGCCAUGGCCCAUAAGGACUGCAGUACAACUCUCGAUACCUCCUUCCUCUCCCUCUGUCAUCCUUUCCUUCUUUGGCUGCCUAAUUCAAAUUCAAUCUCGAUCGCUUCGAUGCUAAACAAGUAGUAGAUUAUACCGGGAAUUUAUCUCACCGUUAAAGGUUUCAAUUUGAAAGCCUCAUGCUUUACUGCUUAAGUACCAUCUCCGUGCUUGUCGAUUAACAACGUCACGCAGUUUAUGCAUGGCAUGCUUUAUGCUGCGUCUGUUCCACAGUGCAGUGCAUAUUAGUUUUUUUAGUCAAGGAUGUCCAUUGGCCAAGUUUCUAGAAUAAACCAUCAAUAUCUAGAGUACUAAAUAAAUAAACUAUAACAAUACGUCUGGAUGUUGAUUUUUUUGAAAAACUUGGUCAAACAUUGGUAUGUUUAACUUUUCAAAACAAAGUAUGUACUAUAUUUUAGAACGGAGGAAGUAUUAAUUUGGAUAUGGUUCCAAGCCUAAGGAGCACGCAGUCUCUAACUAAACUUAAUUGGCACUAAGACAAUAAGACAAGAUGAUAACUAGGUUUUCCUAUGAAGAUAAUUUGGUUAAUUGUCACCGGGUCACUUAUAUACACAGCUGAUCAGGCCUUAUUAAUGCAUCAGUAAUGUUACAUUCAAAUGAAAACUGAGAUCCAUCACAUGUGCUAUUAUCUCUUCAUCCUUCCAUUUCAGUCUCUUCCUCUUAGAGGCUGCUAUAAACAUGCUUCAUUCCCUUUCUCGUUGUUUGUUAGUCAGUGCAAAUCAUUGCUUUUAUUUCAACUAUGUUCUUUCUAUUUUGAUUCUAACUAUGCGUAUGAAUGAUGAAUAUUGAAAACCAGAAGGCAUAUACUUUGGUGUAGUGCUGCAACUUUCAAGUAUUUCUCACUUUCACUACCUUUGUACCAUUAUUGGAGACCAUAAUUGUUGGUGUCUUGUAUUAUUUGUAUGUGACCAAGGUAAAUUACGAAAUAUUGAUUGGUUAAAUCACAAAGUUGGAUGAUUGUUGUAGAUGAAUACUAUAAUCAGAAGCCUCAGUUACACAUAUUAUAGUUUUCAAUUAGUUUUGCAGAUGAAUAUUAUCAUGUCCAUCCAGUACUAUAGUUUAACCCUACAGAGACCGGGGACAUGCUUGACGCCAACCACUACUUUGGAUAUGUUUUUGGCAGUGCUGCUAACAUAUCAUUUUUGUGAAGAACAAUAGUUGUAAAAAAGUGAGUAAUAUCCUACCAAGUAAACGAUGACGUGUCUUAGCAUCUAGACAUAUCAUGCAAUGCAAUAAAGGGUGUUCUCACCCCAAAAUUAUGAAAGCCAAAACACAGAAGGCCCAUGAAAAAAACAACAACCCCCGACCUGCAAAUAGAGAAGCAAGCAAUCUUUUCAUGAAUUAACAAUCAAACAAAUAAAAGAUAGAAAAGUAGAACGGCGCAGCAAGGUGCGCACAUGCAUCUAGUACUUACAAUUUGGAAGGAGAAGCUACGGCAUUGGGCGCCGACUGGUGACUGCCGAGGUAAUUGAAACCAUAGUCUGCUUGGCAGCCACGAGCUAGUGGGGAUUUCAUGCGGUGCGUCCAGGAGAAACAUUGAUGGGUUAGACCGCGAGGCAGGCGUGGUGAGCAAUCGCCAAAUGAUUUGAAUUUAAAAUAUAUAUAUAUCAAAGAGGCUAGUGUACUGUAUUAUGCAUCAAAAUUUCUUUAACUUCAAAUUUGAAGUAGGGGUGGUGGGGUUGUAUUAUACCGAAGCAAGUCAAAAUAGAUAAGUAUUUGUCCUCUGCUUUACCAAAACCGCAUCUUCUAGUGAUUGUCACGACCAUGCCGGCAGCAAAAGCAACGUGUUUUCUUUCUUUUGAUCUCCACCCAACAGGAAGCAUCUCAGCCUUUGCCCACCAUCUCAACGUGUUUUCUCUUUCACCGUAACAACGUCGUUAAUCCCCUCAACAAAGGGAUUGAAGGGGAUUGGAGAGGUUUGAAGAAGAUUUUGACUUGCAAGGGAUUUAAAUAUUUAAUCCCUUGCAAACCUCCCCAAACCCUGCCUAACCGAACAAGCCAUCCGUGUGUAUGCAGUUGAAACGUUUUUGUUUGUCUUCCAAAUGGCUUCACUUGCUGUCCUCCUGGGACAUGUAUAGAGUACCAGCUUUUCUAUCAGUGUGGAUGAUUUUCUAUCAUGGGGCUUACACCUGAAAUUUUAAUAGGUUGAGUGGCAUAUAUGCUUUCUUUUGCGGGUGCAUAUAUGCUUUCCAUGUUCGCACAGAUUGCAUCAUCUGUAGUGCUUGUCAUGAUCAUGCCGGCCACCGAGCGAUGCGCAUUCCUUCUUUCCACACCCACCCACCAAAAGCAUUCAUGUUCCCUUUACCACUCUUUGUACACUCACCGUCACACCCAUUUUCUUCCAGAUCCAAGGCCCAGCGACCUCCACACACACCAGUCUCCCCUGUCGUGCACCACUACUUCCUCUGCUUCACAUCCAGUCCCGCAGCCGCCGUGUUCUGUUGUUCGCCUCCACCAGGACCGAAGCAUCAAGGUGAGUGAUGAGCUCUGAUUUAGAGUUAGUUCAGAGCUUCACACAACCUGGAUCACAAUUUACAGCUCCGAUCUCCAGGUUGUUCCAGAGGUGGUGACGGGUGAGAAAGUUUGCUCCAACUCCUACUCAUGGAGGUGGUCACGGGUGCCAUGGGCAGCCUGCUCCCCAAGCUGGGCGAGCUGCUCAUGGAUGAAUACAACCUGCACAAGCGCGUCAAAAAAGAUGUUGAGUUCCUCCGGAAGGAGCUCGCGAGCAUGCACGCUGCGCUUAUCAAGGUUGGUGAGGUGCCAAGGGACCAGCUCGACAGGCAAGUCAAGCAUUGGGCCGACGAGGUCAGAGAGCUCUCCUACAACAUGGAGGAUGUCAUUGACAAGUUCCUCGUACGCGUCGAAGGUAUUCAGCAGCCUCACGACAACACCGGCAGAUUCAAGGAGCUCAAGAGCAAAAUGUUAGGCUUGUUCAAGAAAGGCAAGAAUCACCACCGGAUAGCUGACGCCAUACAGGAAAUCAAGGAGCAACUCCAGGAGGUGGCUGCUAGGCGUGAAAGGAACAAGCUGGAUGGUAUUGCUCCUAAUCCUGGCGAAGCAGUUGUCAUCGAUCCUCGUCUCCGUGCUCUGUACAUAGAAGUGACAGAGCUCGUCGGCAUCUAUGGGAAGAGGGAUCAGGACCUCAUGAGGCGUCUCUCCUUGGAGACCAACGAUGAUGCCUCUAACAAGAGACUGAAAAAGGUCUCUAUCGUUGGAUUUGGAGGGUUGGGCAAGACCACUCUUGCCAGAGCAGUAUACCAAAAGAUCAAAGGUGAUUUUGAUUGUGGGGCAUUUGUCUCCGUCGGUCGGAACCCUGACAUCAAGAAGGUUUUCAGGGAUAUCCUGAUAGAUCUCGGCAACUCUCACUCAGAUGUUGUGAUACUGGAUGCAAAUCAGCUUAUUAAAAAGCUUCAUGAAUUCCUUGAGAACAAGAGGUAUGCACUACUUACAGAAAAAAAUGUAAACUAUAUGAUAUGUUUGUUUCCUAUGCUAGCUGUACAAGUAAUAUUGUAAUAGUGUGUAAAUAUAUUGUACGUCACACGGAAGGGUUCAGAAUAAUUUUUAGGCUCACCUUACUGACCGUAUGCAGUUUGCACUAAACUGUAAACCUUAUAGGUGCUCAAUUUCAAGCCUAAGUACAUAUGUUUGAUUCUUCCCUCCUUUAUCAAAAUAAUUAGUAAGUACUUCGUGUUGCAUUUGUUACAAUGGCUGAAACUUAUUGGCUUUUGUCCAAGAAAUCCAUCUAAACAUUUUACGUUACGCCAGAGUGAGUGCAAUGACAACUGUAAGAAAUAAUACACCAAAAGGGCAACAUGAAAGGAAGGAAAAAGUAAGAUAAAUGUUACAAAUUUUUUUAAUCAAACUUAUUUCUAUCCUUCUCUUCAUUAUCACACUAUAUGUUGUAUAUUGGAUUGAUGACCAAACAUCAAGUUAAAUUGUCUCUUCACUAGCUAUCACAUUAUAUUUUCCAUGUAUGCCUUUUUUUUAGAAUCUUACUAUCAGAAAAAUAUAGACAAAAGGAUAACGCUAACUUUUUGAGUGGGUCUCCAAGAGGUUCAUUAGCUGACAUAUAUUAAAUUGGUGGGCCAAUCUGUUCUAGGGUCUUCCCAAUAUAUCUACCUGGCCAUUUUAACUUAUGUAGUUAAUUAUAUUUUAAGUAUGGUCAAUGAUCCAGCAAUUUGCUAGUUGUGUUUUAUUCCAUUGAAUCAUAAAUAUUUAUUCAUUUUGUACGACAUCAUCUGAUUGGAGGAUCAUAAUGCAUGCUUCGCGAGAUCGGAUUAUCGAGUUUAAGAUGCAUGUUUGUUACAACCUUGUUUCUGAAUAUACGCCCUUAUAGAUGUAUAGUUGCAUCAAUAUAUUCACAUGGUCAUCAGCUUUGUGAUAUGUGUCGACCUUACCCUGAUACUCUAAACUGAUGUAGGUACCUCAUCAUAAUUGAUGAUAUAUGGGAUGAAAAAUUGUGGAGCUACAUCAACCUUGCUUUCUCUAAUAGUAACAAUCUAGGCAGUCGGCUAAUCACCACAACCCGCAAUCUCGAUGUCUCCAAAUCAUGUUGCUCAUCGGCUGAUGAUUCAAUUUAUCAUAUGAAACCUCUUUCUAAAGAUGACUCCAGACGGCUCUUCUAUAAAAGAGUAUUUGCCGACGAGAAUGGAUGUCCAAAUGAAUUUGAACAAGUGUCUAAAGAUAUUUUGAUGAAAUGUGGUGGGGUACCACUAGCCAUCAUUACAAUAGCUAGUGCUUUGGCUAGAGGUCAGGAGGUGAAACCAAAGAGUGAAUGGGAUAUUCUGCUCCAAUCCCUUGGCUCUGGACUAACAGAAGAUAACAGUUUAGAGGAGAUGCGGAGAAUACUAUCUUUUAGCUAUUAUGAUCUACCUUAUCAUCUGAGAACUUGUCUAUUGUACCUAUGUAUAUAUCCAGAAGAUAGCGAGAUUGAUAGAGAUAGACUGAUAUGGAAGUGGGUGGCCGAAGGAUUUGUCCACCAUGGAGAUCAAGGGACUAGCCUGUUUUUGCUCGGAUUAAACUACUUCAACCAGCUCAUUAAUAGAAGUAUGAUCCAGCCAAUAUAUGAUGAUCUAGGUCAGGUACAUGCUUGCCGUGUACAUGAUAUGGUUCUUGAUCUUAUCUGCAACUUGUCACAUGAAGCAAAGUUUGUUAAUGUAUUGGAUGGUACUGGGGAUAGCAUGUCUUUUCAAGGCAAUAAUGUUCGUCGUUUGUCCUUUCAAGAUAGAAAUAAAGAUCAUGAAGGCACACCUCUCAGAAAUUUCACGGGUAUAUCACGAGUGAGGUCCAUUACUAUCUUUACAUCUGCUAUUAAUAUCAUGCCAUUCCUAUCAAGGUUUGAAGUUCUGCGUGUACUUGAUUUGUCGGGCUAUAAUCUGGGAAAAGGUAGCAGCCUGCAAUUUAACCUCAAGGGUGUUGGACACUUAAUUCACCUGAGGUACCUUGGUUUAGCAGAUACUGGAAUAAGAAAACUCUCGGCUGAGAUAGGAAACCUGCAAUUUUUGGAGGUUUUGGAUCUUGGAAGCAAUUAUGAGCUACAUGAAUUGCCGCCCACUCUUUUUAAAUUGAGAAGAUUAAUCUACCUAAAUGUUUAUCUCUAUAAGGUGGUUCCAACUCCUGGUGUGUUGCAGAAUCUGACAUCCAUAGAAGUGCUGAGGGGGGUCUUGGUCUCUCUGAAUAUUAUUGCACAAGAGCUUGGCAAACUGGCAAGGCUGAGGGAGCUUCAGAUUUGCCUCAAGGAUUGUAGUUUCGAUCUGUAUGAAGGUUUCGUGAAGUCUCUGUGCAACCUACGUCACAUCGAAAUCCUACAUAUUGAAUGCAAUUCCGGAGAAAUUUAUUUUGAACUGACGGAUCUCUUGGAAGAACGCUGGCUGCCUCCUGUACAUCUCCGCAGAUUUGUGUUGUACAUGCCGAGCCAACUCUCUGCACUGCGAGGGUGGAUAAAGAGAGACCCCAUGCAUCUCUCGAACCUCUCCGAGUUAUUCCUCAAUUCAGUGAAGGAAGUGCAGCAGGAUGACGUGGAUAUCAUUGGGGGCUUGCUGUCCCUUCGCCGUCUCUCCAUAUGGACCACCCACCAAACACAGCGGCUGCUAGUCAUCCGUGCAGAUGGGUUCCGCUGUAUUGUAGACUUUAACUUGAGUUGUGGAUCAGCAACGCAAAUCAUGUUUGAACCAGGGGCUUUGCCUAGGGUGGAAUCAGUUGGGUUCAGUCUUGGGGUGCGGGUGGCGAAAGAGGAUGGUAACUGUGGCUUCGACAUGGGCUUGCAGGGGAACCUGCUCUCCCUUCGGCGGCGUGUCGAUGUUAAUCUGUAUUGUGGCGGAGCGAGGGUUGGGGAGGCCAGGGCAGCGCAGUCUGCGGUGAGGCACGCGUUCGACACCCAUCCCAACCAUCUGGAGAUUGUAAUGUUUACGAAUCCGCAUAUAGCAGAAGGUACUCAUGUUGCCCCCCNNNNNNNNNNNNNNNNNNNNNNNNNNNNNNNNNNNNNNNNNNNNNNNNNNNNNNNNNNNNNNNNNNNNNNNNNNNNNNNNNNNNNNNNNNNNNNNNNNNNNNNNNNNNNNNNNNNNNNNNNNNNNNNNNNNNNNNNNNNNNNNNNNNNNNNNNNNNNNNNNNNNNNNNNNNNNNNNNNNNNNNNNNNNNNNNNNNNNNNNNNNNNNNNNNNNNNNNNNNNNNNNNNNNNNNNNNNNNNNNNNNNNNNNNNNNNNNNNNNNNNNNNNNNNNNNGAUUAAUUACUCGUGCACGUACUCCUUGGGAGUACCUAUCUAUUUUCUCAUGACCGCCUGACCUUUUUACUCUCUGCAUGGAUUUCAUCUCUAAAUCUCCCAAGGAGCUAAUGAUGAAGAUUUGUGUGAGGACGAGAUGGAUGAUAAAAGUUUGUAUCAGUGCCUGGUGGACCUGGUGGAGAACUGAUUUUCUGAUGCAGAGUAUCUUACAUUGCGUCAGAUGUGCUCUCAGUCUCAGGUAUGUAGUACGUAUUUGCCUAUUAUGUUUUCCAUCUUUCUCCAUCGUCUUGAAUAUCUCACAUUCUAUUGAUCAACCAUGCUCUACUGGCUAUAUGGAAAUUAGAAUCAGAUUAAGGUAUUUGCAAAAAUUGCUUAGGCAUAAGUCUCUAAGCAGAAACGUGAACUUGACAUAAUGUAGUGUGGAACUUGCUCAAAACUAAUUUUUGUCAAGGGGCUGAGGAAAGCUAAGGAUUAUUUGAGUGCAAUUUUGUCGAAAGAUAGUUGGUAGUGGGCAAAGAAAUAUAUUUGAGAAUAUUGAUUGAUAGGGGGUGCUGUUUUAAUUAGGUGACAAGUACUCCAAGUCAUACAUUUUUUCUUUAUUUAAGCAUAUCUCUGAAGCUAGAGUGCUGGAAUUUAGAUGGAAUCUAUUAGUUGUUGAUUAUGGCAUCGAUUACUUGCUGAUUAUGAUGGUUUUAGUAUUGGGAAUGAGCAAGAUUCAUGUAUAUGACCCCACAAAAAAAAGAUUCAUGUAAAUGGCUUUUAGAGAAGAAUGGAGUAUUUUCUGUGCAUCCUAUGUUUAUAGCUUUGAAAGCUCAACAAGUGAAAUGGCCAUAAAGAAAAUUUUGGUAUGUAAAAGUUCCGCUUAAGAUUAUAGUAUUUUUGUGGUUAGCAUUCAGAAAUAGUAUCAGCAGAGAUAAUGUGAAUCAUAGAGGUAGUGUGGUACAGGGAACUGUCUUUUUUUCAGUAGAAAAGAGGCGGUGGAUUAUAUCUUCUGUAUGUGUUUGGUUGCUUGUUAUAAUUGCUUUUUAUUUUGAUAUAGUCCUUUUAGCAUGGAGGGAUUUUGUGAUUGGGUGAUGAAUUUCAGGGGUAAAGAUAGGAAUCUGAAUUUUGCAAGGGCGGCGGCUGUUAUUUGGUCUAUUUGGAAAACAAGCAAUGAUAAUUGCUUGAAAAAUAUUUUUCCUAUAUAUGGGUCCCAGCUGUCUGUAGGUUGCAAAGUUGCAUACUGGAUGUUUGUAGCUUACAGAGAAAAGAAUUGUAUGAUGUGCAGGUAGCAGGGGCGCGGGGUUACUGCUGGUAGCAUCGGAGAUGCAUGUUUCACAAACGUUUUUGGUGGGCGCCGACUUAGCCAAGAAUUGAAGAUGUAAAAGUUUCGAGUUUCGCUGGAAGUUGUGUGAUGUGGUUCUUUUAAAUGGCAGCCGCUUGCAGAAAGAGAUAUUGCUUGGUUUUGUAAUGAAUAAGUAAGAGUGUUGUAGUGAAUUGAUCCUUACAAGGAUAGCUUGCUUUGCUUCAGUCGUUGCUGCUCUGUUUUUGUUUUUAAGCUGAACCAGACAACCUUAAGGUAUAUUAUCAGUUUCGUGAUGAAUGAAAUGGGGGAAUCCUUUUUCGGUAUUUUCUUUUCAGUAGAUGGAGGGUUCACCUGAGCUCCUUAAUUUGAAUAAAAACUGCGGCUUAUGGUUGGGAUUUUCUAUUUAAAAAAAUUAUUUACUAGUUCUACCAACAUGGGUCGUUCUCCGUGUCUUGAUGGGAUGUGCGCGGUGGGUGGAUGCCGGGGCGGCGGCCUCGGACGGCGUGGACGGCGUGGCCUCUCGACGGGCGACGGCCGUGGGAGCUGGUGGUCCGCGACUUCGGCUGUGCGGGCGGCGAGGUCUCGGUGGACGUCUACGGUGGGUCGGGGUGCCCCGUCACCCGGCGUGCCUGCUACGAUGAAGUCCGACGCCUUCUCCGGCUGCGGACGCUCCCCUGGCCACGUCUUUGGCCGGGUGGUUGGGACGGGGGCGGGAGCGGGGGAAACCCUUGGCCGUCGGCGGAGGCCACGACAAUGGCGGCGCCUUGUGGGCGUCGGUUCCCUUCUUGGAGGCCUUGUCGAGGUCCUAUCCUGUCUCUCACUGUGUUCUUCAUUUGGGCGAAAGCUCUAGUUCCCCUUGCGGGCGACGGCGUCGUCCCUUCGUUGCGCUCCUUCUUGAAGGCGUCGCCUGGGGUCCCCGGAAGCACGGUGGGCGCUUCGUGGUGCGUGUGAGGUGUUUGGCGGCGGCAAUGUGUGCGGCGAUUUAUCUAUUCUACCGCUGAUCUUCAUCCUGUGGUAGCGCUCCAUCUGCUUGGUGAUGUUCUACCGUAGGUGGUGGUCGUCAUUUGGCGUCAUGGUGGUGUUGAUGGCGGAGGGCCUGCCAAGGAUGGCACCUCAAUCUGCUUGGAGAUGGACCAGUGGAAGAUGGUGGAGACGACACCUGUGAGUGCGUCAGACCGGUUUAUGCCCCAGACCCGGUAUGUGGCUAGGCUGGGGAUUCCGGCUUUCGAUGUUAGGUUUAGAUGAGUGGUCUGGGUAGGGGCCCAGCUAGCACCCCUUCAUCAUAUGGAUAGGAGUAGCAGCAUAUGUUGCCUAGUUGGUGGAUUCAGGCUUAUUGUUGUAACACUUUGUAAGGUCCUCGGGAAUAAUCAAUAAAGUGGCCGUAUGCAUCUUCCAGAUGCAGAGGCCGGGGGUAAUCCUCCUUUUCUAAAAAAAAAGUUCUACCAACAUGGUUCUGUUGCAUACAAAUGGAAAGUGUGCUUCCAACUAACAGGUAGACUAGUAUUUUAUACAAAAGCAUGUGUACCCCAUGGUAGCAAAUUAUUUUUGUAUUUUCAAAAGCAUUGUUGCAAAGCCAAAUGAAGCCUAAAUCUGACAGCGGAGAACAGGACAGGGCUAUAUAUUUGUGCCGAAUUAACCGGACCAAUCUCCGUGGUUUUUCAUUUUCUCUUUGUGUAUGAAAUGCAGGAACAUCAUGCUCCCAGACAAGGUUGGUUAAUAAAUCCCCUGCAUAAAGGGCGGAAUAAAAAUAUAUACGUUAAUGGCAAUUAGAAUAGGAACAGAAAAAUAGUGUACACUCUGCUACACCUAAUUAACAUGUUCUUUAAUUUUUUUGUAUGUAUACAUGCAUGCUUCAUUUUUUGUGAUUACUCACACAAUUUCACCCUUUCUGUUUUCAGUAAACUUUGCUCUGUGCAGGAAGAAUCAAGGGUGGACCUAGCAUGAAAAUGACUAGGUCUUUGUAUCGUGGAGCUACAAAGAAAAGGAUGGGUGGGACAGAGAGCACAAAAAAUUCAAAUUCUGAACCAUAUAUUAUAUACUAUUGAGUGAACUAUAUUUUUUUGCUACACUGUUGUUAAACCGUGAGCUAGCAACAAUGCCUUUGUUGUGAACUUCUGAACCGUAAAAGUGGCCUUUGUUCUGAACCUGCAAAAUGUAAAGAACAAUGGCUUUGCACGGUAUCAACUUUAAAACAGCAAGAUUUCAGUAUGGAUUUUGUAUGCUAGAGACCACAGAUGAUGAACCAUGUGAAAAUUUAGGGGAAGAAAAAUUUGGAAUGAUUCGAAGAAAUUUCGAGACCUAUAGAGCUUGCAGGGGUGCAGGCAGAUUCAGCUGGGUCGCCGGCUCGCAGGGGUGCAGGCAGAUCGUCCAUCGAAGAUGGAUUUCGAAUCGAGUGUCCCGUUGGAGGCAUCCCGUGGCGACUCGGGCGGCGACUCCGCCUCCCUGUGCGCCUCCGGCGCGGCGUCGGCCUGGGUUCUGGUGCGGCGGGGUCCCUGCGGCGCCCCGGCGCCCGCCGCCUCGGCGUGCUCUCCUGGGGAUGGCCGGGCGAGCUGCGGUGGUCGGUUCUGGGCUUUGUCGGGGGAUGAGUCAGACGACGAGGACGGGAUCUCCUCUCCGCGGUUUGCUCCCCCUCCGGCGGGGGCGUCGCUAGGCGAUUUCGUGCUCGCGGCGGCUCGUGGCGGGGCUGGUCGGGGUGACCGGCGCCGCCGGUUUGCGCCGGGUGGUGGGGGCUCGCGGGUGACGGCGGUCCGGUGCUGGAGGACGGGGGCGUUCGCUCCGCGCGCUCCGGGGGCUGGUCCGGCGCUCCCGCGCUCUCCUAGGUGCUCGGGGCCCGCGGCGGCCCCGGCGUCGCCGGAGGAGUGGCCUGCUGUCCCUGCGUUGCCAUCGACGGCGCCGUCGGGGCCGGAGGCGGCGCGGGCGACGGAGGGGGCGCCGGAGGUGGGAGCUUCGCUAGGGUUGGCGUCGACUGCCCUGCCCCUGGGCCCGCCGCGGGUCUCUGGGCCUGGGCCGGCAUCGCUAGGCCCGUUGCCUGUCGGGUCCCUCGGUGUGGGCCCAGGCGCUGGGCCUGGGCCGUUCGGCCCGUCGGGUCGGCCUGGCCUGGGGGGGGGGGAGCCUGCUGGCCAUCGCUAUAUAUGGCUGCGCAGGGGGUGUCGUGACCCCUCGCUAGGGUUUCCGGCUCGACACAGUGAGGUGCGGCGCCACCGUUUCUCCGCCAGAUCUCUCAUCCCCAUUCCUCCCCCUCUCCCUCUCUCGCGGUCUUUUGCCGAGGCGACGGCCAUGGGUGACCGCCGUGCGGACAAGCGCCGAUGGAGCCCCCGUGCCCGGAGGAGGAAUGGUGGCGCGAAAAGGCCCUUCGGGAGCAGGCAAAGCGCAGUCAGUAGGCCAAGGCUGCGGGGCGUGCGGAUGGCGGCGGUGGUUCCUCCCACGGCCAGGGCGGUGGAUCUGGGCGUGGUCAAGGUGGUUUCCAGGGAUAGGAUUCUGGAUCUGGCUUCCAAGGGCAUGAGGGGGAUUGGGGUCCUCCUCCGCCCUGGUAGGGCCAACAAGAGCAGAAGAAGAAGCGCAAGCAUGGUACGCGGCGGCGUGAGCUAGAACGCAAAUCGCAGGACCUUCCCCCUUGCAGCGACGGUCAUGGUGACCCGCUGGCUAAGAAGCCUCGGGCUGGGGCCGCUCCGCUCGCGGUGGUCGCGGUCGAUGCGCCGCGGGGCUCGGCGGCUGCCCCCAUUCCGGUCGAGGAGGAGGGUGGGGAAUGCUUCAAGUGUGGCCGGACCGGUCACUUCCAGGCCAAGUGCACUUUCCCCCCUCUAUGUGUGAUCUGCAAGCAGGAGGGUCACGCUUCGGCUUACUGUCCUACUCGGGGCAAACAGCCGCUCCUCCAGAUCAUGGGCAGCGCAAUUCCGGGCGAGGGUUUCUUUUGCAUGGAGUUUGAAGAUGAUUUGUUGGUCGUCGACGAGGCCUCUAAGGUUGCCAAUGGUGCCAUCCUCUCAGUGGAGCCAGGGAGGCUCUCGCUGGGUGUGCUCAAACAGGAACUGAAGCACAUGGUGGCUGGUGAUUGGGACUGGCAGAUUGAGCAGGUGGGUGACAAUGACUUUGCGGUGGUGUUUCCUUCUGCAGAUCUGCUGCACAUGGACAAGACAAGUGGUAAACUUUUCCUCUCCAUCCACGACAUUACUGUUCUGGUGCGUGACUCGAUCCAGGAGGCGAUAAUCCCCCUCUCCAUGCCUGAGGUGUGGCCUCGCCUCCAUGGCAUCCCCAAGAAGCACCGCCGUGCUGACCGUCUGAUGGAGGGGCUCAAGAUGCUGGGUAGGCCGAUCGUGGUGGAUGAUCUUUCCCUUAUCCGGGUGGGACCGGUGAGGAUGAAGUUUGGUGUUCGAGCUCCUGACAAGAUGAACGGAUUUGUUCAAGUCUGGUUCAACCAUGAGGGAUACGACAUCCGGGUGGAGGUGAAGAAGCUUCCUAUGCGUCCUGGUGAUGGGCCGGCGGCGUCCGGUCCCAACAAAAACCCCUCACACCCGGGAGAUAAGAGUGGUGGCCCGCCUGGUUCACGGACUGGUGGGCCUGCUGGCCCGCAGGGGCCUGAUCAUGGGGCCAAGGGGGGCCAACCCAUCGGUGGCUCGGGCCGCGCUAUGGAUGUUGACAUGGCCGGACAGGAUGCAGAGCCUGAGGACAGUCUGCCAGACACGUCUAUUGACAUAGAGACUUGGAACCAGCUGGGCAUUCAAGAACUGGCGCUUGACGAAGGGAAGGAGCUCGAGAUGCCUGGGACUCUGGCGAUUGCGGACACGGCUGGGAGCAGCCUGCCCCCGUCCCGCGCCCUAGUGGGGGCUUUCAACCUGGUGGGCUCGGCGCCGCUGCCUGUUGCUGGCCGUCUGGAGUUGGCUGGCGGGCCAGCCUCCCCUCGCCUGCUUGGUUCAGACUCGGGUGUGGUGCUCAACGAGCCUGCUGUGGCCACCCCUCUGUCUAGCCGUCACAGCUCGGGGGGAUCCGGUCGUGCCCCCAAGAAGUCGGCCGGGCGGAAGCCCUCUGCCAAGCUUGCCACGCUGGCGCUCCCGUCUCCUGUGGCGCCAGCCGUGGUGGAUCUCCAGGCGGCGUUGGGCUCUGCGGGCACGGCGGCCAAGGCGCGUCUCUCUCGGGCGUCCCCGGUCCCCCAGCAUGCCCCCAGCGCUCGGGCCAAGGCGGCGUUGGGCGAUCUAUCUUCCCUGGAGAGUGUGCAACUUCGUCUGGUGGAUAAGAACAUGGAGAUCUCAGGUAACCCUCCCCCCUCUUUUAAGAUUCUGAACGCUUUCACCGAUCCUCAACUAGCUACGAUCUUAGACGACAGUGGUUUCGAAUUAGGCGAGGACCGUGGUGAGCUUGUGUCUCUUAUUCGUGCUCGCGAGGAGGCCCAAGCGGCUCUGGCAGAAGCCGCUGCUGCGGCCAAGGCCAGGGAAGCCACGGACACGACGCUGGGGAUCCCCGCCACUCCUGUGUCUUCGGAUUCCCCCUCCCUGCUUGUCCUGUCGGAGGGUGCUGCUGCAACCAGGGAGGUUGCCGCAGUGCCAACUACUAGCCGUGCCCAGGCUAAGAAACGUGUGGCUAAACCGGGGACCUCCAGGGGGGUUCGCCUACGCAACCGCAUUAUCUGAUGCGUUACAUCUUCUGGAACAUCUGAGGUUGCGGGCACUCGGGUCGUCGCACGCAACUUAGGGAGUAUAUUGCUCGUGAAAGUAUCGACGCCGUAGCUCUUCAAGAAACUAUCAAGGCGGACUUUACUUAUCGCGAUCUUUCGGCCUAUGAUCCUCUGCAUCGUUUCGUGUGGGGUUGGGUCCCUUCCGUGGGUCAUUCGGGCGGUCUUCUAUUGGGAUGUAAUUCUGAUGUGUGUUGUAACCUGGGACGUUGGUCCUUUUUUCAUCGCUGUGACGAUUAAGCAUAGAAUCUCGCUUGCCUCCUGGGCGAUUGUCUGUGUCUACGGCCCGUCCGGUCACUCGCGUUCGGCUGAUUUCUUGAGCGAAAUCCAAGUCUUGGUUGGGGCCAAGCAAGCUGCUAACAUCCCCAUUGUUCUUGGGGGUGAUUUUAACCUCAUUCGCUCGAGCGCAGACAAAAACAAUGACAACAUUGACUGGACUAGGAUUUCCCUUUUCAACAACGCCAUUGCGGCCUGUGCCUUACGUGAGCUCGCUAGGACUGGGGGCGGGUAUACUUGGACCAAUAAACAACUCAAUCCAAUCCGUAGUGUCCUCGACCGUGUGUUCGUCUCAGCUGACUGGGAGAUGAUCUUUCCCAUGUGUACCUUGGUCGCGGAAACUCGCAUUGGCUUUGACUACGUCCCGCUGAUCCUGGCCUCUAGGGAGGAUAGGAUCAAGCGUAGCAAGCGUUUUUACUUUGAAUCAGGGUGGUUUGAGGUAGAGGGUUUCAUCCCGUUGCUCCUCGCUCGCUGGGAGCUUGCCAGGACUUCGAGUGGCCGCUCCAGGGGCCCCCUUGAUGCUUGGAUUUCGGCUGCCAGCGCCCUGCGUGGCUUCCUCCAUGGGUGGGGAGCAAACCAUGGUAGCGAGGUAAAGCGAGCUAGGGAAGCUCUUAUCGAAGAGACUAAAGCUCUCGACAUCCAGGCAGACACCAGAUCCUUUUCGGAGGCUGAGUGGGCUUGCCGUUAUGCCCUAGAAAACCAAGUCUUGGCCAUCCUCAGGGAAGAGGAGGAAUACUGGCGCCGUAGGGGCGGUGUCAAGUGGGUCACCAAGGGGGAUGCUAACACAGGCUACUUUCACACCUUCACCAAUGGCCGUAAAAGGAAAUGUUCGAUCUUGAGACUGCAAUCGGACCAGGGGGUUUUGGUUAGCCAGGCCGAGAUCUCGAGACAUAUAUACGAUUUCUUCCUUUCCCUCCUGGGAACGGCGGAAGGGAAGGUUUUGCGUCUGCAUGAUGACUUCUGGGGGGAAGAAUCACGGGUCACACAAGCCGAAAAUGAUGGUCUCGCUUUAUCCUUCUCCACUCAGGAGAUCGACGACGCGCUAGGCUCAAUGAAGAUCGAUACUGCGCCUGGGCCGGACGGCUGGCCGGUGAUCUUCUUUCGGUGGCUCUGGCCGGCGCUCAAGGACAUGUUUUUACGACAUCAUCAACGGUUUUGUGUUGGGCACGGUCGACAUAUCGCGCCUUAACUACGGUGUCAUCAGUCUCAUCCCUAAAGUGAAGGGGGCCGAUUCGAUUAAGCAAUACCGUCCUAUCACUCUUAUCAACGUCCCCUUCAAGAUCUGCUCCAAGGCUUAAACCACGCGUCUUGCCCCGGUUGCUCAACGUGUGAUUGACCGUAGCCAGUCCGGUUUCCUCAAAGGCUGUAACAUCCUGGAAGGCCCGGUGGUCUUGCAAGAGAUCGUCCACGAGCUUAAGCGCACACGCCAUCCGGCCGUGCUUUUUAAGCUUGAUUUCGAGAAAGCCUACGACCGAGUGAACUGGGAAUUCAUUCGUGAAGUACUCACUCGGAAGGGAUUCGAGUCGGGUUUCAUCCACCGCAUUAUGCAUCUGGUUUCGGGGGGCCAGACAGCGGUGUCGAUUAACGGAGAAAUUGGGACUUUCUUCCGCAACAAACGUGGGCUCAGACAAGGAGACCCCUCCUCGCCUUUAAUCUUCAAUUUUGUUGCCGAUGCCCUCUCGGCCAUGGUGAACAAGGCCAAGGCCGCUGGCCACAUCCGAGGUGUUGUUCCCCAUCUGUGCCCCGGAGGGAUCACCCAUCUCCAAUACGCGGACGACACCUUGCUCCUCUUCGAGCCCGACGAUAAUAGUGUAGCCUCGAUCAAGCUCAUCCUUCUCGCUUUCGAGAUCAUUUCUGGCCUGAAGAUUAACUUUGCAAAGAGUGAGGUGAUUGACAUAGGGAUGGACGAUCACUAGGCCACCCGCAUUGCCAACUUACUUAACUGCAAACUAGGGAGUUUCCCAUUUAAGUACCUAGGCCUUCCCAUUUCGGACGAACACAUCUCGAUCCUCGAAUGGGAACCCUUAUACGGCAAGGUGGCGAAUCGGGUUAGUCCCUGGCGUGGCAGGUUCUUGUCCUCUGUGGCCAGGCUGAUUCUGACUAAUUCCAGUCUGUCUUCCCUGCCCUUGUUUACUAUGGGCAUGUUCCUGUUGGCCGACGGUGUCCACGCCAAAUUCGACACCCCCAGGUCUAAGUUCUUUUGGGAAGGAACUGGGAACAAGAAGAAGUACCACCUUAUCAAGUGGGCGGCGCUUUGCCGCCCUAAGAAAUUUGGUGGUCUCGGGAUCCUCAACUCCAAACUUAUGAAUGUGGCGCUUCUCGUCAAGUGGAUAUGGAAACUCUCCCAGAACGAGCAAGGGCUUUGGGCUGAUAUCCUUCGUGCCAAAUAUUUUCCAGAUGGAAAUUUCCUUACCUCAAAGGCGAAGGGAUCGCCUUUCUGGAAUGGAAUCCAGGCUGUUAAGCCUGCCUUCACGUUAGGAGCCAAGUUCAGUGUUAAAAAUGGGGAAUCUACGCGAUUCUGGCUUGAUCACUGGCUAGGUACGGAGCCUCUCUGGCAGAGCCACUUUGCCAUAUAUCAACUGGCCACUAACGUCGACAUUUUGGUGGCNNNNNNNNNNNNNNNNNNNNNNNNNNNNNNNNNNNNNNNNNNNNNNNNNNNNNNNNNNNNNNNNNNNNNNNNNNNNNNNNNNNNNNNNNNNNNNNNNNNNNNNNNNNNNNNNNNNNNNNNNNNNNNNNNNNNNNNNNNNNNNNNNNNNNNNNNNNNNNNNNNNNNNNNNNNNNNNNNNNNNNNNNNNNNNNNNNNNNNNNNNNNNNNNNNNNNNNNNNNNNNNNNNNNNNNNNNNNNNNNNNNNNNNNNNNNNNNNNNNNNNNNNNNNNNNNNNNNNNNNNNNNNNNNNNNNNNNNNNNNNNNNNNNNNGCCAUCUCCUUCAAAAGGCCUCUCCUCACUCACGAACGCGCUAGCUGGGAUGGGCUCCUAGCUAAGGUGCAGGGUUUCUCUCUUCUCCCUGAGAAGGACACGGUCUCAUGGUCCCUCACGAGCUCAGGGAAGUUCUCGGUCAAAUCCCUUUAUAACAAGCUGACCGAGGGACCGACGCUCGACAUAGCUAGGGGGCUAUGGAAAGCGUCCAUUCCUUUGAAGAUCAAAGUUUUCCUAUGGCAACUUUUUCGCGAUCGCCUCCCUUCUUCUAACAACAUUGCCAUUAGACAUGGCCCUUCGGAUGGCUCUUGCGCGCUCUGUGGCCAGCAUGAAGAUGCCAACCACAUCUUUUUCAAGUGCCAUCUGGCCCGCUUUGCCUGGAGUGCCGUCCGUAAGGCUUUCGAUCAGACUUGGAACCCCAAUUCGACUUCGGACCUUCGUAGGAUCCUCCUUGCGCAUCGGGGUAGUUUCGGACGUGUGUUGUGGCGCUGCGUAGGGGCGCUGUGCUGGUCUCUUUGGACCAUACACAAUAAGAUGACAAUCGAACACAAGUUCCCUAACCAUCCUGCUGACAUUAUUUUCAAAUGCCAUGUGUUCCUACAGACAUGGACUCCGUUGGGGAAACGGCGUGAUGCAGAUCGGAUGCUGGAGGCCAUGGAGCGGAUCCGCAUGAUCCAGGUGGAAGCCCGUGCCUAAGUUGAUGCUUUUGGAGCUAUUUUGGCAUUUCAUUUGUCUGGCUGCCUGUCGAGCUUCUAGUUUAUGUUCUCUUCCUAGGCUGCGGCCAGUUGCAUGUUCAGUACUUUUGGCUUCGGCCUUUCUUUCCUUUUUAGAUUGUUAUUCCUGUAUUGUACUCCUUGAGGAUGCUACCUGUUGAUGGGCUUUAUUAAUUUAAAGCCGGACGCAUGGUGCGUCUUCGUUCUAAAAAAAGGGGUGCAGGCAGAUUCAGCUGCGUCGCCGGCUCGCCGCUGUUAACUACGUCGUCUGGCAGAGUCAUGGGUCGGCCGUGGGACUGGGGGGAGAACUAGGCGGCUGAUCUCUGAGACUCCGCUUCUGUGUUGCGUGCCUUUGUUAUUUUUUCUCAGAGAGAGAAGCAGUGCUGCCACUUUGUCAUGUGAGCCUCGCUGGGCUGAUGUGGGCUGGGCUAGGUGUAAAUUAUUUUUUGCUCCAACAACGCUAGGCAGAACAUGGCCCAGAUAGGCCUUGCUGUAACUCUGCCAGUGUGUAUAAAUACAAUAAAUGUCAUACAGUACUACGCAAUAUUGUAUCUAAUAUGAUCAUGUUUUUCAAUUUAGUUUGUUCCAAAUUGCAAAUACUGCUAUGAAUUCAAAACCAAAAUCUAUAGCAUCGGAAAUACCCCUUUUAUUUAUAAAGGGCAUUGUCCUUAUUUGACUCAUAUAUUAUAUCAAAAUUUGCUUAGUUUCAUCAUCUCAACCUAGCAUUAUCAAAUUUGUAAUGAUUUUUAUUCAUGGCAUCACAAUUUUAUUUGGCGCAUGUUUAUGUCUAAACUAGCAUUAUCAAAUUUGUAAUGAUUUACAAGAAGAGAUAGUAAACAUUUUGUAAAUGAACUCAUAAGGCAUAACCAAGGUCACUUUUAGACUAAAUAACUGUGGCAGAAGCAGUAGGUGCGCGGUACAUGCAACACAGGAGCCAAUAGGGGCAUGAAGAUUUCACAAGUGAUGGAUAUAUUGACUAGCUCGGCUUGUUACCAGGUCGCCUAGUAUUACAUCUCCCCCUUUUAAGAAAAAAAGGCCUCAAAUAUGCUAAUCAAAACAGUAGUACAACCACCACGGAAAUAUUAAGAAACUCCUUGAGGUCCCUAGGUUGUUAUUUUCCUUUUACUUUGGUUUAAAUUUUUAAAAACACAAAUACAUAUAUUAUGAAAAGGUAAAUUAGUUAUUUGUUUUACAAGUAUUCAACACACAUUAAAAAAAUGUAAAUGCAGUGUCCAAAAAUGUUCACUCAACUUUAAAAAAAUGUUAGUACCGUUCAAAAACUAUAUGUGACAUUUAAAUGUUCAUGCAUUUAAAAGAAUGUAAUUUACAUUUAAAAUAUACAUAUACAACAUAAAAAAGUAUUCAUUUAAUUCAUAAAAAUGUUCAAUGCCAAUAAAAAAUGUACGUUAUAUUUAAUAAACUAUUCAUGCUUUUCAUAACAAUAUGCUUGUGACAUUUCCAAAAAUGUUUGCAGUAUGUAUAAAAAUGUUUGCAUACUUUUUAAAACUUGUGUUUGUAUCAUGAAAAANNNNNNNNNNNNNNNNNNNNNNNNNNNNNNNNNNNNNNNNNNNNNNNNNNNNNNNNNNNNNNNNNNNNNNNNNNNNNNNNNNNNNNNNNNNNNNNNNNNNNNNNNNNNNNNNNNNNNNNNNNNNNNNNNNNNNNNNNNNNNNNNNNNNNNNNNNNNNNNNNNNNNNNNNNNNNNNNNNNNNNNNNNNNNNNNNNNNNNNNNNNNNNNNNNNNNNNNNNNNNNNNNNNNNNNNNNNNNNNNNNNNNNNNNNNNNNNNNNNNNNNNNNNNNNNNNNNNNNNNNNNNNNNNNNNNNNNNNNNNNNNNNNNNNNNNNNNNNNNNNNNNNNNNNNNNNNNNNNNNNNNNNNNNNNNNNNNNNNNNNNNNNNNNNNNNNNNNNNNNNNNNNNNNNNNNNNNNNNNNNNNNNNNNNNNNNNNNNNNNNNNNNNNNNNNNNNNNNNNNNNNNNNNNNNNNNNNNNNNNNNNNNNNNNNNNNNNNNNNNNNNNNNNNNNNNNNNNNNNNNNNNNNNNNNNNNNNNNNNNNNNNNNNNNNNNNNNNNNNNNNNNNNNNNNNNNNNNNNNNNNNNNNNNNNNNNNNNNNNNNNNNNNNNNNNNNNNNNNNNNNNNNNNNNNNNNNNNNNNNNNNNNNNNNNNNNNNNNNNNNNNNNNNNNNNNNNNNNNNNNNNNNNNNNNNNNNNNNNNNNNNNNNNNNNNNNNNNNNNNNNNNNNNNNNNNNNNNNNNNNNNNNNNNNNNNNNNNNNNNNNNNNNNNNNNNNNNNNNNNNNNNNNNNNNNNNNNNNNNNNNNNNNNNNNNNNNNNNNNNNNNNNNNNNNNNNNNNNNNNNNNNNNNNNNNNNNNNNNNNNNNNNNNNNNNNNNNNNNNNNNNNNNNNNNNNNNNNNNNNNNNNNNNNNNNNNNNNNNNNNNNNNNNNNNNNNNNNNNNNNNNNNNNNNNNNNNNNNNNNNNNNNNNNNNNNNNNNNNNNNNNNNNNNNNNNNNNNNNNNUAAAAAAUGAAAUCGAAGAAAACCGGUAAAAACAUAAAGAAAACACAAAAAGGAAGAAAAUAAAAAACAUUGAAAAUCAAAGAAAGCAGUAGAGAAAAGUACAGGAAAAAGAAGGAAAAACUAAUGCUCAUAUGCUCAUAUGAAGAGUGGGACAAAAAUAUACCAAGUCCUUGACGCCAAUGCCACUCACGGGCGGCUAACCACAUUUUCAUUGGAGCCACACUUUUUUUUUUGCACUCUAAUUUGAUGAAGCUCCGCCUCUUUUUAAGUGACACAUCACCCUGGCCACUCUCAAAUUUGUAGGGCUCAAACUUCUAUGUUCAUGGAAGAAAGCAUGAACCCUCUUUUAAAAUGAUGAACAUUUUUGCUUAGCGCCCGUUUGGGGAUCUUGUCCAAUUUCCAUCCAAGCCUAGCAAAGCAACUUGUCCUCCUCCUCCUUUGUGUAUGCUCCGGUCCUCACGCUUUGCCGCCUCUUUUAAUUGUGACCGAUCUUGAUGAGAUAGCUCCUCCCCCAAACAAUGGCCCUUCUUCAAUGUCGACACUCUCUUGGCCUUUAGCCUCUUGGCCUUGAGUUUCUUUGGCACAAUCCCAGGGGCCACCCACAUUGAUCAUCUCCUCCAUGAGAUCAUCAUAGUAGUUUGGGUCGUCCGGCGUUGGCAUCGGCAUUCUAUCAAACAAGUUGCAUGCAUCGGGUAAGUUGGCCGGGGAGACCACCUGUGAGCGUUUCCUCUGCGUCUUGGUGGACUUGCUGGUCACAGGUGUGGUGUUGAGAUCAAUGGGAGGCACCACAGGGAUGACCAACACAGAAUCACCCAUUUUCGGCAAGCAAUACCGAGGUGAGGUGGAGAAGCGAGACAUUGUUGGGUCAUGUCCCGGAAGGUAACCAUACGCCAAUGACGAUGUUAAUGUGCGCGAUGAGUCCGGAAGCCUGGGCGGACGGGCCGCCGACAAGCCCGUGCCUGCCACCAUGGUGGCGGCGGUAAGAAGGCUCGGCUCGUGGAACCCCAGCCGUCUGCACGGCCUUUGUGGCGAUAGCGUUGGUGUCCACAGCGGCGGCGGUAGUGGCGAUGGUGGUGGCGUAUUAUUUUGCUUUCUCCUUCCUCCUCUCGUUAGCCCGCUUCACCGUCUUGGACGCUCUGUACUCCGGGGUCAUCUCCUUCUUCGGGGUCACGGCGGGGAUGGUCGGCGGCNNNNNNNNNNNNNNNNNNNNNNNNNNNNNNNNNNNNNNNUUUGGGGGGGGGGGAAUGGUGGGAGUGGCAAUGGUGUGCCACCAACUGACGGGACAGGGAAGGGCAAGGGGAGAACGGCGCGGGCAUCCUUAUUGUUUACACUCGACCUAAAUUUGGGACGAAAAUGGGUCAAAAUGGGCAUCCAUCCGUUUGCGUCGGGGCAUUGGACUGUGUUUUUUGUCCACAGGUCGCAAACAGACGCGGUGGACGAAAUGUGUCGGCCCACUGCAGUUGCCCUUAGCUAUUGAUUCGCUACAUGCCGAUCACUUUACAUCGUCCAAAUGACAAAAGCGUGACGGUUAACCCCUAAAUGAUGUGGGAAUCAGAGACUUUGAGGCAUCUGAUGACAUGUUGUGUCAUUUUGCAUAAUAUGAUCGUCGAGAAUGAGGGUGAUGGGGUAGCGCAAACCAAGGACUUUGACAAGCCACACGAACAAGUCCACAUCCAGAAACAUCAAGAUGCAUAUCGACUUAUGAAUUUUCUACCGAUGCAUCAAAAUCUUUGAGAUCAUCGGGUGCACACGCAGCUACUCAGUGAUCUUGUAGAAAAUACGUGGAUCCAUAUAAUUAAAUCAAAGAGCUAAUGUUUGAAUUGUGCGGUUAAAAUAAAUUUUAUGGUAUUUUUGCUAUCAACAAAUAUUAUUCGUGUAAUAUUUAUUUAGAGUAUAUGAUGGACGUGCAAGGAUUUGAGUUCUCACAUUUGGUCAGAAUACUUACAAAUUGGAGAGAGAAGGUGUGGCGCUGGUCGCAGAUUGGUCCGUUUGUGGAUUGGUGCAAUGCGUUCCAGAGAACACAAGCGGUGCAUCUUCUAGUAGUGCUUUGUGAUGCCGGCGAUGCGCUUCUUUCCACGCCCACCCACCCACCCACCCAAAGCACUACUCCCUUUCUCCUUUACCUUCUCUCACAUCCAACGCGUCGACCACUGAACAAACACAUGAGCCAAAAGCAUUAGGAGGGAUUCGUAUCUUGAGUUCUUGACUGCUGUUGUUGGUCUUGCUCAUUCUCAUCUCCUCCUCUCCUCCAUUGCGUCGCGUCGCCUGCGCUGAGUGCUCGCCCCCGCCAACUCACUGCCGGGAGGAGACCUUGACGACCGCGGAGGUAUGUUUCCUGUCGAUUUGUUUCCUGCUAAGGUAGCAAUGCUUGGAUCUAAAAGCUGAUUACUUCUCCUGCUUGAGAGUCUCAUCCAUUUGUGUUGGUUGAAUCUUGAAUCCACGGUAGGAAGAAUCAUGGAGUUCCCUGUCAAUCAGAGCAUGAUGCACUGAAUCCACUGACCUGGUAACUUCGUCUGAGUCUCACCUUUCUUGAUGUUCUGCUCUACUCACAUCCACACCUUCUUGUUAAUCUCCACCUUCUUGUUAAUCUGAUGGUUUGCUAGAUUUUAAUUUCUUAUUCUUCUUCCAGAUCGGGAGCAGUGAGCUAGUGACGCAUCUGACCUCUACUGCAUCUAGCCUCUGCCGUUAAGCACCAAAGGUGAGCUUGGGCCAAAUCCAGCUAAGUUUUUGGCUUGGCGACUCAGUUGUAGAGUUUGGAUUGCAUUACAGCUCUCUAGAUUCAUAGAUUUGCAGUUUUCCAGCUGAUAGGUCAUGGAGGUCGUCACGGGUGCCAUGGGCAGCCUGCUCCCCAAGCUCGGCCAGCUCCUCAUGGAUAAGUACAACCUGCACAAACGUGUCAAGAAAGAUGUCGAAUUCCUCCGGAAGGAGCUUGAGAGCAUGCAGGCUGCCCUCAUCAAGGUUGGCGAGGUGCCGCGGGACCAGCUCGACAGGCAAGUCAAGCUUUGGGCCGACGAGGUCAACGAGCUCUCCUACAACAUGGAGGAUGCCGUUGACAAGUUCCUUGUACGUGUUGACGGCAUUCAGCCACACGACGAGGCAAACAGAUUAAAGGGGCUAUUGAAGAGGAUGAUCGGCGUGUUCAAGAAAGGCAGGAAUCACCAUCCCAUAGCUGACGGGAUUCAGGGUGGACACGGUCCGAGCCGGUCCGGUCCCUGUCCGAGCCGGCGUUUGGACCGGCCGCUGGCGGUCCGGUCCGGACCGGACCGAGCAACGUCGCGGUCCUGUUUUCAGGGACCGAACCGGCAAUGGCCGAGCUCGGGCCGGACCGAGAGGACCGUGAUGUAACGCCCCGAGACCGAUGUGCCAGGUGUCGUUCAGCUAUUCGUUGUUGUUGUCUUGUCAUUGGCUUGCGUGUUGCAUUUCAUCAUGUCAUCAUGUGCAUUGCAUCAUCAUGUUUUCAAAACUUGCAUCCGUCCCGGUCUCCUCGUUCCUUCCGUUGUCCGUUCUGAGCCCAACCACAUUUGCACGCGCCCGCGGCAUGUCCAAGAUAGUAUUUUAUAAGUGGCCGGGAAAUGUUCUCGGAAUGGGUUGAAAGUUGGCAUGCGGUGUCGAUUUGUUGUCAGUAGACCGCCUGCCAAGUUUCAUUGCAUUCGGAGUCCGUUUGACGUCCCAACGGAUAAAUAUAGCGGCAAUAGUAGCCGGUCUAACGUCGGACGUUUUCGGUCUCCGGAAACAGUCGCCGGGCCUCCCUCUCUUCUCUUCUCUCAGCUCGAGACCAUCUGCACAGCCCACUAGCCCACCUAUUUAAACCCCCCCUCCGUUCUGGUCCGUCAGAUCGCGAUUGGAGGCUCCGGAACGGACAAAAAUCCCCCUAACCUAGCCCCCUUCUCCCCCUUCCAUUUUUGGGCAUCCCUAGCCCCCCCACCUACCUCUAGCCGCCUCCCACCUCCAUUUCCGCGCCACCCGCUCCAGCUCCGCCACUUGGCGCCGCCGCCGGCGCNNNNNNNNNNNNNNNNNNNNNNNNNNNNNNNNNNNNNNNNNNNNNNNNNNNNNNNNNNNNNNNNNNNNNNNNNNNNNNNNNNNNNNNNNNNNNNNNNNNNNNNNNNNNNNNNNNNNNNNNNNNNNNNNNNNNNNNNNNNNNNNNNNNNNNNNNNNNNNNNNNNNNNNNNNNNNNNNNNNNNNNNNNNNNNNNNNNNNNNNNNNNNNNNNNNNNNNNNNNNNNNNNNNNNNNNNNNNNNNNNNNNNNNNNNNNNNNNNNNNNNNNNNNNNNNNNNNNNNNNNNNNNNNNNNNNNNNNNNNNNNNNNNNNNNNNNNNNNNNNNNNNNNNNNNNNNNNNNNNNNNNNNNNNNNNNNNNNNNNNNNNNNNNNNNNNNNNNNNNNNNNNNNNNNNNNNNNNNNNNNNNNNNNNNNNNNNNNNNNNNNNNNNNNNNNNNNNNNNNNNNNNNNNNNNNNNNNNNNNNNNNNNNNNNNNNNNNNNNNNNNNNNNNNNNNNNNNNNNNNNNNNNNNNNNNNNNNNNNNNNNNNNNNNNNNNNNNNNNNNNNNNNNNNNNNNNNNNNNNNNNNNNNNNNNNNNNNNNNNNNNNNNNNNNNNNNNNNNNNNNNNNNNNNNNNNNNNNNNNNNNNNNNNNNNNNNNNNNNNNNNNNNNNNNNNNNNNNNNNNNNNNNNNNNNNNNNNNNNNNNNNNNNNNNNNNNNNNNNNNNNNNNNNNNNNNNNNNNNNNNNNNNNNNGCUCGCUCGCCCGCGCCUCCCGAUCUGCGCCGCCGACCCCGCCGCCGCGCCCUGCAGUCCUCCGCCCCAGGUCGCCGCCUCCCCGUCGACCUUCACCUCCUCUCUUUCUCCUCCUUCACUUCUCGUGCUCACCCCGCCGAUCCCUUCCUCCCGCAGGUAGCCGCCGCCGCCAUAGAGUCAUUCUGCCGCCGCCGCCACCGGGAACGGAUGGAUCCGGCCGGGAUCCGCCGGAUCCGCCCCAUCCCAGACUCCUCCGGCCAUCCCUCGCCCACUGCCGGCUCUCAUCGCCUUCCGCGCCGCCGGCCUCGUCUCUGUGCGUCGGGAGGACGACGCAGGCGCUGCCGGCCUCGUGGCCCGACCUCCCCACAUGGGCCUCGGCCCCUCCCCUUCGCAGCCCAGCGCGCCAGCCUCUCCAGCCGCGCCAGAUCCAGCCCAGCCGGCUCCAGCCUCCUGCUCCACCGCGCCCUUCAGACUAGGCCCGAGCCAAGGCCCAGCUCACUCGCUCCGCGAACCGCGCCAGCCGCAGCGCCUCAAGGCCCAGCUCGCCCGGCCCAGUGGCCCUCUGGUGAGCGCCCACGCGCUAUCCUGCGCCCCCAGCGCACUUUUGUUUCCUGCGUCGGCCCGUGUGGUUUGGUUUCGGCCCGCGUAGUUUUUUUUUCUGCGUUGCGAAUUUGUCUAUAUUAUCCAGAGAUUGCUGUUUUUACAAAAAAAGACCCCUAAACUUCAUGCAUUAAUAACUUCACAACCGUGCAUCGGAUUAAAAUGUUUUAUAUAUGUAAAAUGCUCAGAAAAUUGUGUAGUUUAAGAAUAUGCCAUUUUCAUCCAUGUUUAAAAUGUUUAACUUGCUGUUUAUUUAAAUUUGCUAAUAUGCCAUGCUAAAAUGCUUUAUUUCAUAACUAAAUAACCGUAACUCCGAUUUUAAUAAAUUAUAUAUGUAAAUGGGGUAGAAAAAUGUCUAGUUUAACAUGGUGCACUCAUCUUGCAUGUUUAACAACUCUAAAGUAUUGUUUAGGGCAGAACAGUGCCAAAUCUAAAAUAUGCUAUGGGGAUUUACCGGAAUUGUUGUUCGUUACUUCCGGCCUCAUUUAAACUUGCCUAGAUAGGUAGUUUCGUUGUGCUUCACCUCUUGCCAUGUUAAUCAACAUUUAAUAUUGUUGGGGUACAUAAACGAGAUCAAACUAAAUAACUUGUUGUGGUGUUUCGUCAAUAUGCAACUCAUUGCAUAUUGAUCUCCACUUAAUUUGUAGAACUGCUUGUGCACUUUGCCAUGCCAUGCUUCAUUAAACCGGACAUGCCUCAUACUCGUUUGUGCAUCAUGCCAUGUUGAUGUGUUGGUUGUUUACUAUGUUGUGUGCUUCUUUUCCGGUGUUUGCUUCUUCGGGUUGGUUCCGAUAACGUCGAGGUUGUGAGGAUCCGUUCGUCUACGUCCGUUUGUCUUCUUCGUAGACUCGUUCUUCUUCCUUGCGGGAUCUCAGGCAAGAUGAUCAUACCCUCGAAAUCACUACUAUCUUUGCUAUGCUAGUUUGCUCGCUCUUUUGCUAUGCCAAUGCUACGAUGCCUACCAUUUGCUUGUCCGCCUCCCAAAUUGCCAUGUGAAACCUCUAACCCACCAUGUCCUAGCAAACCGUUGAUUGGCUAUGUUACCGCUUUGCUCAGCCCCUCUUAUAGCAUUGUUAGUUGCAGGUGAAGAUUGAAGUUUGUUCCUUGUUGGAACAUGGAGAUGUUGUUCCUUGUUGGAACAUGUUUACUUGUUGGGAUAUCACAAUAUAUCUUAUUUAAUUAAUGCAUCUAUAUACUGGUAAAGGGUGGAAGGCUUGGCCUUAUGCCUGGUGUUUUGUUCCACUCUUGCCGCCCUAGUUUCCGUCAUAUCGGUGUUAUGUUCCCGGAUUUUGCGUUCCUUACGCGGUUGGGCUAUUAUGGGAACCCCUUGACAGUUCGCCUUAAGUAAAGCUCUUCCAGCAAUGCCCAACAUUGGUUUUACCAUUUGCCACCUAGCCUUUUCUUUUCCCUUGGGAGUCGCGCUCCUGAGGGUCAUCAUUAUUUUACCCCCCGGGCCAGUGCUCCUCUGAGUGUUGGUCCAAACUAGAGUCCUGUGCAGCGCCCCCUCGAGGAAACUCGAGGUUUGGUUUUAGUUGUAUGGAGCGCUCAUCUGAGUGUGCCCUGAGAAAGAGAUAUGUGCAGCUCCUAUCGGGAUUUGUCGGCACAUUCGGGCGGUGUUGCUGGUUUAGUUUUACCCUGUCGAAAUGUCUUGUUGUACCGGGAUACCGAGUCUGAUCGGAACGUCUCGGGAGGAGGUCUAUUCCUUCGUUGACCGCGAGAGCUUGUCAUAGGCUAAGUUGGGACACCCCUGCAGGGAUUUGAACUUUCGAAAGCCGUGCCCGCGGUUAUGGGCAGAUGGGAAUUUGUUAACGUCCGGUUGUAGAAAACCCGAAGUUGACCUUAUUUAAAAUACAUCAACCGCGUGUGUAACCGUGAUGGUCUCUUUCCGGCGGGGUCCGGGAAGUGAACAUGGUUGUUGGAGUUAUGCCUGACGUAGGUUGCUAUAGGAUCACUUCUUGAUCAUACUUUUAUCGACCGUGCUUUGCCUUCUCUUCUCGCUCUCAUUUGCGUAUGUUAGCCACCAUAUAUGCUAGACGCUUGCUGCAGCUCCACCUCAUACCUUUACCUUACCCAUAAGCUUAAAUAGUCUUGAUCUCGCGGGUGCGAGAUUGCUGAGUCCUCGUGGCUCACAGAUACUUCCAAAACCAGUUUGCAGGUGCCUAUGUUACCGAACAGGUGACGCAACCAAGCUCAAGGAGGAGCUCGAUGAAGAUCUUGCCCUUUGUGUUGUUUCGUUCUAGUUGAUCAGUAGUGGAGCCCAGUUGGGGUCGAUCGGGGACCUUUGUCGCAUUUGGGGUUCUUCUUUUAUUUUGGUUCCGUAGUCGGACCUUGAUUGUAUCUGGAUGAUGUAAUGCUUUAUUCAUGUAAUUGUGUGAAGUGGCGAUUGUAAGCCAACUAUGUAUCUCUUUCCCUUAUGUAUUACAUCGGUUGUGUGAAGAUUACCUCACUUGCGACAUUGCUUUCAAUGCGGUUAUGCCUCUAAGUCGUGCUUCGACACGUGGGAGAUAUAGGCGCAUCGAGGGCGUUACAAGUUGGUAAUCAGAGCCUUCCCAGACCUUAGGAGCCCCACUGCUUGAUCGUUUUAGCGGCCGAGUUUGAGUCUAGAAAAAAAUAUUUGGGUCAUUUAGGAUUAUAUAUAUCGGAGAGUUAGGAAUUCUUUUUACUCCCCAGUCUCUUCAUCGCUCUGGUAAGGCAUCCUGACGUAGAGUUUUGACUCUUCUUUUCUCAAAUUUCACUAAUUUUUUUUUAGGAUCACGCGGGUAUCUUGGAAUCGUUCCGAUGGUUUUAUGAUGAGAACAUUGUCUUGGUGCCUCCUGUCAGGGGUUUUGUGGAAGUGUCCCGGGGAGUUGAGCUCUGAGAUGUUGUCAUCAUAAUUUUAUCGUUGCAAUUCUGGUAUACCUGAGUUUAGUACGCCGACAUCGAAAAUCUCUUUUAUGCAGUUCGUUGGUGAGAUAACCUCGACGCCACCCAGUACUGGGGCGGGAGUUCGGGAGUAUCGCCAUAACUUGUAUAACGGAUGCUUUUCGAAGGUUGAGGUAGAUGAUUUCCGAAGGUUUCUUGGUUAUGUGUUGAAGGAUGGAUACAGCUGGAUGUAGGAUUUGCUAGUUUGGGUGAGAUAUUAUGCUUCCCCUGUAUCCCCAACACCUGAUUGCAUAACCGGAAAAUUUCGGGAGUUUCAUAGGUGGGAAUUCAAGUAGCUCGUAGGAUAUCUUUCCGAUAGAUGUAUGAUAUGAAAUUGGGGUUCGACGUCUAGUGGUCCGCCUAUUCACGGUCGGUUUUACAGUGGUCUCGUUGUGUCUUAAAGAGUCCUUGGCUAUGCCGACUCGGGGACGCUUCGUAUGUCAUGUGCACUGCCUUGUACAUGAUGGUGCUGUACGAUCGAGCCCGUGUAGGCCCCACCACAAAAACUUCGGACGAAAUCUCUAUCAUAUGUUUGUUCUGGCUUAUUCUGCAAGCCAAUCCUUCGUUUUGUUUUGAGUUGUGGUAUUCGAGUUGCUUCGAAGUCAAGAGUUGAUUCCAUACCUUUCCUAAAUGGUCUUCUCAUAUUUCUAUGUGAAUACUAAUCCUUCUUGAUAAUCGAGAUUGUCAUGUCAAUCCUUUUUAACCAGUGUGCUUCUCUUCAAGUGGACACGAUCAUUUGAACUUCCGCAAGAUCAAUGAUCAGUUCUUCUCAACGGUGUUUGUUUCAUCCGUCUCCAAGUUGCCUUUGUUUUUCCCACCCACCCACCCUUUUUCUUCGAGGACUCGGAUAUCUUUAUCAAAUAUCCAUUUAUUAUGGAGGUCCCUCCAUUCUAUUUCCUUCAUGUUCUUAUCCGGUGAUUCUCAUGAAGUUACUAACGGAGUUUCUAGUUCAUCAUUCUUNNNNNNNNNNNNNNNNNNNNNNNNNNNNNNNNNNNNNNNNNNNNNNNNNNNAACGGUGUUUGUUUCAUCCGUCUCCAAGUUGCCUUUGUUUUUCCCACCCACCCACCCUUUUUCUUCGAGGACUCGGAUUUCUUUAUCAAAUAUCCAUUUAUUAUGGAGGUCCCUCCAUUCUAUUUCCUUCAUGUUCUUAUCCGGUGAUUCUCAUGAAGUUACUAACGGAGUUUCUAGUUCAUCAUUCUUCGUUUCUUUUAUCUUCUCCGGUGGUUUCAAGUCAAGCUUUUGGUGUUGAUCAUAUCCCUUUCCUCGUUUUCAAUGCUUUCUCAUGCUGGUGCAAUUCUCAAUCUUUCACCUCUCGCUAUUCAAUUGUCCCGGAGUGCUCAAAUUUUCUCAAAAGGUUUGUCUUGUCAUUCAAGAUUCUUUCAAGAUCUUUCGAGGAUGUUAUCUCAUUCAAGUCAUUUAAUUCAACCGAUGCAACCUCUCUUUUAAAUCAUUUCAACGCUGUUUCUUUUGAGUGGGCCCUAACCCACAGGUCUGUUCCCAGGAUCUUACCUGACUCUUAUUUUCCCGGAGCUAUCCUCAAAGUUCUUGUCAAAGUUUGACGUAAGAAUGAUUCAUCAUCAGUCAUAUGUAUUUCUCCUAGAUCUUUCACAAUUCUUUUCAUCGUUGGCUCAACCUCUUCGUUUUGAUUCCUCGAGAGUGUCUAAAUAAUUCUUGGUGAUGUUUCUCGUCAUUUUGAAGACCAAAGAAGAGUUUCUCUUUAAUCUUGCUCCAUUCUCUUCAAGAUUCGUGAUUCUAGCUUGUUGCCAUCCUCUCGUAAUUGUUUUGAUCGUGAGAAUUCUUUUCACCUAUCCGGAGAAAUUCAAGAGUCUUCUCAGUUUGUUAUCCGGAGUCCAUCAAUUCAGGUUUAUUCAUUCUCAGCUGCCAGUUAUCAUUCUCCUAUCUUGCCGGCGCAUCAAUCAAAUAUCCUCUAAUCAGUUCUUGAUCUCUUCGUUCUCAUGUAUCUAGUUUGUCUCAAGCACCUUCGUUCAUUUUCUAAUUCUUACCGGUGAUGCACCCCUACUUCGAUCAUUUUCAAUUCUUUCGGUGGUUCGCUCAAGUGUUCUCUUCCUUCUUCAUCAUAUCAAUUCAUUCGUUGUUUCAAUCCUACCGGUGGUCCAUUAAGUUUAUGUUAUAUCUCUUUUAAUCCUUGAUACGAGAAUGAGUAGUAUGCCAAAUCCAUUUUUUGUCAUCAAUUUAAUUGGUGAAGGAUAGGCAUAAUGUAAUUCUUAUUCUUGUUGCAUCGACUGAACUCAAUUCCCUAUUCCGGAGGCUCAUCAAAUUCUUGAUUUCUUUUGUUCAUAUUUCUUUUCCCGGAGUUCCAAGUUUUCUCAAUUAUUUCACCAUGGAGAUUCAUCUAAAUCAUUACAAGGUUUUACCUUGUGUUCUCAACUUCUCUUUCUUUUCGUUACCUUUUCUUUACCGAAGUUCUCAUGAAGGUUCUACAUGAGGGUUCAUCAAGGAUUUAUAUUCCUUCUUGAAGUGUUCAUCAAGAUUCUUUUCCGAGGAGCUCAAGUUUUCUUCAUCUUGCUAUCCGGAGUGCAAUUCUUUCAACCGUAUCAUUGGAGCUGGUAUUAUGUCAUUCUUGAUAAUUUGAGUUCAUGUUUCAUGAUUCACAUGUUGUUAAGAAUGAGGUAUUUCAAAUCCACCAACCUCUUCGUUGGAGUUAUCUGGUGUCAUGUUUCACCUAAAGAUUUCUCUAAGGAUUGUUGAUAUUUAUGCUGCUUAUAAAUGACCCAAGUUUUUCUUUUACCCUCCCGGUGAAAUAUUUUCUCGUCUCCUUGUCUAUAUCAAUACAAUUCUUUUCCCGUGAGUGGCAGGUUGUCACCUCAUAAUUUGAGAUGUAUUCCAUAAGACCAUAUCAAGCUUAUUCUUUUUGUUGUUGGUUUUCCAACAACUCCAUUCUAGCUUUUGUUGUAAGCAUGCUACCUCGAGACCUUGUUUCCCUUCGUUCACUCCAUUCCAUUCUUACUUUUGUUCCGGAGGCAUUGUGAUGUUCAUCUUUUCAACCCAUCAUCUCGUUUUGUCAACGAUCAUGUUCUUUUCGUGCUUAUCCAUUUAACCAGAGUGUCGUGUCCUCUGCUCAAGUUCUUUUCAUCUUAUCUAGUCUUGUAUCACUUUUCAACCGGAGUGCUGUUCGAAUUUGGUCUUCCUUGAUCCCCUUCCUUAACCGGCGUGUUUUCAAUAUAUAUCUUCCCUUCAACCUCAAGGUUUUUCGCAAAUGUUCUUUGUCCCUAUUUGCUAACAGAGUGUUUUCGACCUUGUUCACCUUCGUUGUAUUCUUUUCUCGAAUUUGUUCAACCUAGCAAGGUUCUUUGGUUUCACUCAUUGGUCAAAGAAGCAAUUUAGUUUUACCGCUUCUCUUUCCCUUUCGUUUUCCCUCCGGUGCCAUUCUAGAUCUCGGGACGAGAUCCUCUCGUAGUGGUGGAGUGUUGUAACGCCCCGAGACCGAUGUGCCAGGUGUCGUUCAGUUAUUCGUUGUUGUUGUCUUGUCAUUGGCUUGCGUGUUGCAUUUCAUCAUGUCAUCAUGUGCAUUGCAUCAUCAUGUUUUCAAAACUUGCAUCCGUCCCGGUCUCCUUGUUCCUUCCGUUGUCCGUUCUGAGCCCAACCACACUUGCACGCGCCCGCGGCAUGUCCAAGAUAGUAUUUUAUAAGUGGCUGGGAAAUGUUCUCGGAAUGGGUUGAAAGUUGGCAUGCGGUGUCGUUUUGUUGUCAGUAGACCGCCUGCCAAGUUUCAUCGCAUUCAGAGUCCGUUUGACGUCCCAACGGAUAAAUAUAGCGGCAAUAGUAGCCGGUCUAACGUCGGACGUUUUCGGUCUCCGGAAACAGUCGCCGGGCCUCCCUCUCUUCUCUUCUCUCAGCUCGAGACCAUCUGCACAGCCCACUAGCCCACCUAUCUAAACCCCCCCUCCGUUCUGGUCCGUCAGAUCGCGAUCGGAGGCUCCGGAACGGACAAAAAUCCCCCUAACCUAGCCCCCUUCUCCCCCUUCCAUUUUUGGGCAUCCCUAGCCCCCCCACCUACCUCUAGCCNNNNNNNNNNNNNNNNNNNNNNNNNNNNNNNNNNNNNNNNNNNNNNNNNNNNNNNNNNNNNNNNNNNNNNNNNNNNNNNNNNNNNNNNNNNNNNNNNNNNNNNNNNNNNNNNNNNNNNNNNNNNNNNNNNNNNNNNNNNNNNNNNNNNNNNNNNNNNNNNNNNNNNNNNNNNNNNNNNNNNNNNNNNNNNNNNNNNNNNNNNNNNNNNNNNNNNNNNNNNNNNNNNNNNNNNNNNNNNNNNNNNNNNNNNNNNNNNNNNNNNNNNNNNNNNNNNNNNNNNNNNNNNNNNNNNNNNNNNNNNNNNNNNNNNNNNNNNNNNNNNNNNNNNNNNNNNNNNNNNNNNNNNNNNNNNNNNNNNNNNNNNNNNNNNNNNNNNNNNNNNNNNNNNNNNNNNNNNNNNNNNNNNNNNNNNNNNNNNNNNNNNNNNNNNNNNNNNNNNNNNNNNNNNNNNNNNNNNNNNNNNNNNNNNNNNNNNNNNNNNNNNNNNNNNNNNNNNNNNNNNNNNNNNNNNNNNNNCCUGCCCGAGAGCCGCCUGGCUCUCGCUCGCAUCUCCGUCGCCCGAGCAGCUCGCUCGCCCGCGCCUCCCGAUCUGCGCCGCCGACCCCGCCGCCGCGCCCUGCAGUCCUCCGCCCCAGGUCGCCGCCUCCCCGUCGACCUUCACCUCCUCUCCUUCUCCUCCUUCACUUCUCGUGCUCACCCCGCCGAUCCCUUCCUCCCGCAGGUAGCCGCCGCCGCCAUAGAGUCAUUCUGCCGCCGCCGCCACCGGGAACGGAUGGAUCCGGUCGGGAUCCGCCGGAUCCGCCCCAUCCCAGACUCCUCCGGCCAUCCCUCGCCCACUGCCGGCUCUCAUCGCCUUCCGCGCCGCCGGCCUCGUCUCUGUGCGUCGGGAGGACGACGCAGGCGCUGCCGGCCUCGUGGCCCGACCUCCCCACAUGGGCCUCGGCCCCUCCCCUUCGCAGCCCAGCGCGCCAGCCUCUCCAGCCGCGCCAGAUCCAGCCCAGCCGGCUCCAGCCUCCUGCUCCACCGCGCCCUCCAGACUAGGCCCGAGCCAAGGCCCAGCUCGACCGCUCCGCGAACCGCGCCAGCCGCAGCGCCUCAAGGCCCAGCUCGCCCGGCCCAGUGGCCCUCUGGUGAGCGCCCACGCGCUAUCCUGCGCCCCCAGCGCACUUUUGUUUCCUGCGUCGGCCCGUGUGGUUUGGUUUCGGCCCGCGUAGUUUUUUUUUCUGCGUUGCGAAUUUGUCUAUUUAUCCAGAGAUUGCUGUUUUUACAAAAAAAGACCCCUAAACUUCAUGCAUUAAUAACUUCACAACCGUGCAUCGGAUUAAAAUGUUUUAUAUAUGUAAAAUGCUCAGAAAAUUGUGUAGUUUAAGAAUAUGCCAUUUUCAUCCAUGUUUAAAAUGUUUAACUUGCUGUUUAUUUAAAUUUGCUAAUAUGCCAUGCUAAAAUGCUUUAUUUCAUAACUAAAUAACCGUCACUCCGAUUUUAAUAAAUUAUAUAUGUAAAUGGGGUAGAAAAAUGUCUAGUUUAACAUGGUGCACUCAUCUUGCAUGUUUAACAACUCUAAAGUAUUGUUUAGGGCAGAACAGUACCAAAUCUAAAAUAUGCUAUGGGGAUUUACCGGAAUUGUUGUUCGUUACUUCCGGCCUCAUUUAAACUUGCCUAGAUAGGUAGUUUCGCUGUGCUUCACCACUUGCCAUGUUAAUCAACAUUUAAUAUUGUUGGGGUACAUAAACGAGAUCAAACUAAAUAACUUGUUGUGGUGUUUCGUCAAUAUGCAACUCGUUGCAUAUUGAUCUCCACUUAAUUUGUAGAACUGCUUGUGCACUUUGCCAUGCCAUGCUUCAUUAAACCGGACAUGCCUCAUACUCGUUUGUGCAUCAUGCCAUGUUGAUGUGUUGGUUGUUUACUAUGUUGUGUGCUUCUUUUCCGGUGUUUGCUUCUUCGGGUUGGUUCCGAUAACGUCGAGGUUGUGAGGAUCCGUUCGUCUACGUCCGUUUGUCUUCUUCAUGGACUCGUUCUUCUUCCUUGCGGGAUCUCAGGCAAGAUGAUCAUACCCUCGAAAUCACUACUAUCUUUGCUAUGCUAGUUUGCUCGCUCUUUUGCUAUGCCAAUGCUACGAUGCCUACCAUUUGCUUGUCCGCCUCCCAAAUUGCCAUGUCAAACCUCUAACCCACCAUGUCCUAGCAAACCGUUGAUUGGCUAUGUUACCGCUUUUCUCAGCCCCUCUUAUCGCGUUGUUAGUUGCAGGUGAAGAUUGAAGUUUGUUCCUUGUUGGAACAUGGAGAUGUUGUUCCUUGUUGGAACAUGUUUACUUGUUGGGAUAUCACAAUAUAUCUUAUUUAAUUAAUGCAUCUAUAUACUGGUAAAGGGUGGAAGGCUUGGCCUUAUGCCUGGUGUUUUGUUCCACUCUUGCCGCCCUAGUUUCCGUCAUAUCGGUGUUAUGUUCCCGGAUUUUGCGUUCCUUACGCGGUUGGGCUAUUAUGGGAACCCCUUGACAGUUCGCCUUAAGUAAAGCUCUUCCAGCAAUGCCCAACGUUGGUUUUACCAUUUGCCACCUAGCCUUUUCUUUUCCCUUGGGAGUCGCGCUCCUGAGGGUCAUCAUUAUUUUACCCCCCGGGCCAGUGCUCCUCUGAGUGUUGGUCCAAACUAGAGUCCUGUGCAGCGCCCCCUCGGGGAAACUCGAGGUUUGGUUUUAGUUGUAUGGAGCGCUCAUCUGAGUGUGCCCUGAGAAAGAGAUAUGUGCAGCUCCUAUCGGGAUUUGUCGGCACAUUCGGGCGGUGUUGCUGGUUUAGUUUUACCCUGUCGAAAUGUCUUGUUGUACCGGGAUACCGAGUCUGAUCGGAACGUCUCGGGAGGAGGUCUAUUCCUUCAUUGACCGCGAGAGCUUGUCAUGGGCUAAGUUGGGACACCCCUGCAGGGAUUUGAACUUUCGAAAGCCGUGCCCGCGGUUAUGGGCAGAUGGGAAUUUGUUAACGUCCGGUUGUAGAAAACCCGAAGUUGACCUUAUUUAAAAUACAUCAACCGUGUGUGUAACCGUGAUGGUCUCUUUCCGGCGGGGUCCGGGAAGUGAACAUGGUUGUUGGAGUUAUGCCUGACGUAGGUUGCUAUAGGAUCACUUCUUGAUCAUACUUUUAUCGACCGUGCUUUGCCUUCUCUUCUCGCUCUCAUUUGCGUAUGUUAGCCACCAUAUAUGCUAGACGCUUGCUGCAGCUCCACCUCAUACCUUUACCUUACCCAUGAGCUUAAAUAGUCUUGAUCUUGCGGGUGCGAGAUUGCUGAGUCCUCGUGGCUCACAGAUACUUCCAAAACCAGUUUGCAGGUGCCUAUGUUACCGAACAGGUGACGCAACCAAGCUCAAGGAGGAGCUCGAUGAAGAUCUUGCCCUUUGUGUUGUUUCGUUCUAGUUGAUCAGUAGUGGAGCCCAGUUGGGGUCGAUCGGGGACCUUUGUCGCAUUUGGGGUUCUUCUUUUAUUUUGGUUCCGUAGUCGGACCUUGAUUGUAUCUGGAUGAUGUAAUGCUUUAUUCAUGUAAUUGUGUGAAGUGGCGAUUGUAAGCCAACUAUGUAUCUCUUUCCCUUAUGUAUUACAUGGGUUGUGUGAAGAUUACCUCACUUGCGACAUUGCUUUCAAUGCGGUUAUGCCUCUAAGUCGUGCUUCGACACGUGGGAGAUAUAGCCGCAUCGAGGGCGUUACACGUGAGGACCGGCCAAGACAUGGGCAGAGCGCGCUCUGGAGCUCCGGCGACGGCUCAUCAGAGAGAUAUCUUGCUAGAGGAAGCGCAGCUCAUCGAAAAGAUGUCUGGGAGCUUGAGAAGCAUCAGAGGAAGCUACGUGACCAAGAAGAACACCGGAGGGAGCUCAUCGGCGACGAAUCUGACACGACGGCCGGUGGACAGAGAUGAAAGGAAUGAUGGCUGAUGCGGCUACGUAGGACCUCCCUCGUCAAUUUUUUUUGACGGAGAUGAUAGAUCUCACGACGGAGGAACUCCUAGACAUGAUGGUUCGUCGCAGGAAGGCUGGUGGCCAUGGUGUUAUGCGGUGGUGCUCUGCUUGUGCGUUGGACGGCGGCUGCCGCGGCACAGGUGCGUGGCCCUGUCACGCCUUGGCCGCCACGCACUGGCCAAGCCCCCGUCAAGCCCCCGCCAUGCCCCCGUCAAGCCCCCGCCAUGCCCCCGGCAAGCCCCCAGCCAUGCCCCCGCCCUGCUCUGGCCAUGCCCCCGCCAUGCCGCCGGCUGCUUCUUCGGUCCGCUCGGUCGGCCCGAGCUUUAACCGGACCGGACCGGCCGAUUUUGGGUCUUGUUUUGAGGGACCGGACCGGCCGAUUUUUUUGUCGGGCCAGGACCGAGCCAGCCCGGACCGAGCGGGCCACGAGCCGGUCCAAAAGACCGCUCGUGUCGUCCACCCUGAGACGCGAUCAAGGACAUCAAGGAGCAACUCCAGGAGGUGGCUGCUAGGCGUGACAGGAACAAGGUAGUUGUUCCUAAUCCGACGGAACCAAUUGCUAUCGAUCCUUCUCUUCGAGCUUUGUACGCAGAAGCGACAGAGCUAGUUGGCAUAUAUGGGAAGAGGGACCAGGAGCUCAUGAGGUUGCUCUCCAUGGAGGGUGAUGAUGCCUCUAACAAGAGACUGAAGAAGGUCUCCAUUGUUGGAUUUGGAGGGUUGGGCAAGACCACUCUUGCUAGAGCAGUAUACGACAAGAUUAAAGGUGAUUUCGAUUGUCAGGCAUUUGUUCCGGUCGGUCAGAACUCUGACAUGAAGAAGGUUUUAAGGGAUAUCCUCAUUGAUCUCGGCAACCCUCACUUAGAUCUUGCGAUGCUGGAUGCCAAUCAACUUAUUAAAAAGCUUCAUGAAUUCCUAGAGAACAAAAGGUAUGCAUCAGUUUAGAAAAAAAGUACGCUAUUAUGAGAUGUUUGUUUCCUAUGCUAGUUGUACAAGUAAUGCUGUACUAGGGUAUAAAUAUAUUGUACGUCACACGCGGAAGGGUGCAGAAUAUUUGUUUUUCAUUAACAUCACCUUUACCGACAUAUGCAGUUCGCCCUAAACUGUAGACCUUAUAGGUGCUAAAUUUCAGGCAUGUAUAAGUACGUAGAUGUUUGAUUCUUCCCUCCUUUAUCAAUAUAAUUAGCAAGUACUUCUUGUUGCAUUUGUAUGGCUGAACUUAUUGCAUUGAUCCAAGAAAUUAAGCUGAACAUUUUACAUUUCACCAAAGUGAAUGUGAUGACAAUUGUAACAAAUAAUAAACCAAAAGGUAAGUAAGGAAAGAGGAAGGUAGAUAUUACCAAAAUUUACAUCAAGCUUAUUUAUAUCUUUUUCCUUACCUAUCCAGUUUUAAAACACAUAUUUUAAAGGGUGGCAACGUGCGCCAAAGGCUACCAUUGAAAAUUCCUAAAAUAUUGUACAUUUGAUUGAUGACCAAACAAGAAGAUAAAUUAUCUCUUCAUUAGCACAUUAUAUUUCCAUGCAUGUCCUUUUCUAGAAACUUACUAUGAACAUAAUAUAGACGAAUGGAUAAUGCCACACAAUUUGAGUCUCCAAGAGGUAUAUUAGCUGCCAUAUAUUAAAUUGGUGGGCCAAUCUGUACCAGGGUCUUUUUGAUAUAUCUACCUGACCAUUUGAACUUCUAUAGUUAAUUGUAUUCUGCAUAUGAUCAAUGAUCCAAAAACUUGCUAUUUGUGAUUUACUCAUUGAGUCUUAAAUAUUUAUUCAUUUUGUUCAUCAUAUGAUUGGAGGCCCAUAAUGGAUGCUUCAUCAUAGUAAGAUUAUCGAGUUCAAGACGCAUGCUUCUUACUUGUUUGUUUCUGAAUAUACGCCCUUAUAGAUGUAUAGUUCCAUCCAUAGAUUCAUAUGACCCUCGGCUUUCUGAUGUGUACACGCUGAACUAAUGUAUGUAUCUUGUCAUAAUUGAUGAUAUAUGAGAUGAAAAAUUAUGGGAAGGCAUCAAUUUUGCUUUCUCCAGCAGGAAUAAUCUAGGCAGUCGGCUAAUCACCACAACCCGCAUUAUCAGUGUCUCCAAUUCAUGUUGCUCGUCAGCCAAUGAUUCAAUUUAUAAAAUGAAACCGCUUUCUACCGAUGACUCCACAAAGCUCUUCUACAAAAGAAUAUUUCCCAAUGAUAGUGGAUGUCCAAAUGAAUUUGAACAAGUGUCUGAAGAUAUAUUGAAGAAAUGUGGUGGGGUACCACUAGCCAUCACUACUAUUGCUAGUGUUUUGGCUAGUGGCCAGCAGGUGAAACCAAAGUGUGAGUGGGAUAUUCUGCUCCAGUCCCUUGGCUCUGGACUAACAGAAGAUAACAGUUUAGAGGAGAUGGGUAGAAUACUAUCUUUUAGCUAUUAUAAUCUACCGUCUCAUCUGAAAACAUGUCUACUGUACCUAUAUGUAUAUCCAGAAGAUAGCGAGAUUUUUAGAGAUAGACUGAUAUGGAAGUGGGUGGCCGAAGGAUUUGUCCACCAUGGAAAUCAAGAGACUAGCCUGUUUUUGCUCGGAUUAAAUUACUUCAACCAGCUCAUUAAUAGAAGUAUGAUCCAGCCAAUAUAUGAUGGUAUAGGCCAGGUAUAUGCUUGUCGUGUACAUGAUAUGGUUCUGGACCUUAUCUGCAACUUGUCACAUGAAGCAAAGUUUGUUAAUGUAUUGGAUGGCACUGGAAAUAGCGUGUCCUCAGAAAGUAAUGUUCACCGUUUGUCCCUUCAGAAUAAAAAUGAAGAUUGUCAAGCCAAACCUCUCACAAAUAUCAUGAGUAUGUCACGAGUGAGGUCCAUUACUAUCUUUCCACUUGCUGUUAGCAUCAUGCCAGCUCUGUCAAGGUUUGAAGUUUUGCGUGUACUUGAUCUAUCAGACUGCAAUCUGGGAAAAAGUAGCAACCUGCAGCUUAACCUCAAGGGUGUUGGACAUUUGAUUCACCUAAGGUACCUUGGUCUAGAAAGUACUAAAAUCAGUGAACUACCGGCUGAGAUAGGAAACCUGCAAUUUCUGGAGGUGUUGGAUCUUGGAAACAAUGAUCAGCUAGAUGAAUUACCGUCCACUCUUUGUAAUUUGAGAAGAUUAAUCUGCCUACGUGUUUAUCCCGGUGUGGUGGUUCCAGUUGGUGUGUUGCAGAAUCUGACAUCCAUAGAAGUGUUGAGGGGCAUCUUGGUCUCUCUGAACAUUAUUGCACAAGAGCUUGGCAACCUGGCAAGGCUGAGGCAGCUUGAGAUUUACUUCAAGGAUGGUAGUUUGGAUUUGUAUGAAGGUUUCGUGAAGUCUCUGUGCAACCUACAUCACAUCGAAAUUCUAUCUAUUGAUUGCAAUUCCGAAGAAACGUCUUUUGAACUGUUGGGUCUCUUGGGAGAACGCUGGGUGCCUCCUGUACAUCUCCAUGAAUUUGAGUCUGGGUUGCCUAGCGAACUCUCUGCACUGCGAGGGUGGAUAAAGAAAGACCCCUCGCAUCUCUCGAACCUCUCCGAGUUAAUCCUCUGGUCAGUGAAGGAAGUGCAGCAGGAGGACGUGGAGAUCAUUGGGGGGGGUGCUGUUCCUUCGGCGUCUCUGGAUAAAAAGCACCCAACAAAUACAACGGCUGCUAGUCAUCCGUGCACAUGGGUUCCGCUGUAUGGUUGACUUUGACUUGCAUUGUGGAUCAGCAACGCAGAUCAGGUUUGAACCAGGAGCGUUGCCGAGGGCGGAAGCAGUUGACUUCAGCCUGGGCGUGCGGGUGGCGAAAGAGGAUGGCAAUAGUGAUUUCGACUUGGGCCUGCAGGGGAACCUGCUCUCCCUUUGGCGGAGGGUCUGGGUUUGUAUAUAUUGUGGUGGAGCGAGGGUUGGGGAUGCCAAGGAAGCGGAGGCUGCGGUGAGGCACGCACUCGAAGCCCAUCCCAAUCAUCCCUUUAUUAGAAUUGACAUGUACCCGCGUAUAGCAAAAGGUACUCAUGCUGCACCUAACUACUUACUUGUAUACGUAUGAGUGUGUUUUCUCAUGUCCGCCUAACCUUAUUGCUUUCUGUAUGCACGGCUUUGAUCUCUAAACCUUCCCAGAUGCCGAUGAUGACGAUUUGGUGUGUGGUAGUGAUGAAGACAACUGAUUUCUGAUGCAGAGCGACUCACAUUGCAUCAGGUUCAGGUGUGCUUGUAUUUGCUUAUCNNNNNNNNNNNNNNNNNNNNNNNNNNNNNNNNNNNNNNNNNNNNNNNNNNNNNNNNNNNNNNNNNNNNNNNNNNNNNNNNNNNNNNNNNNNNNNNNNNNNNNNNNNNNNNNNNNNNNNNNNNNNNNNNNNNNNNNNNNNNNNNNNNNNNNNNNNNNNNNNNNNNNAGAGUUCCGCUUAUUGUUCCAUUGAUCAACUAUGCUUCACUGUGAGAUCUGCUACUUAAGAAAAUAUUUACUAGUUCUACCGACAUCGUUCGAUUACAUACAAAUCAAACGGGUGCUUCCAAGUUCCAAUAAAUAAAGUACUUUUGAAAAGAGUUUUCGCAAACAAAUCCUUUAUGCCAAUAAGAAUUGGAACAUAAAUGUACCAGGACAGGAGAAAGUAUGUAUGUAGAUACACCUAAUUAUCAUUUUUUCCACCACCUUACUUUUUCCAUCUCUAGAGCUCACCCUGUCGUUGCAUUGAUCGCGCUUCACUAGUGACUAUUGAAAUUAGAAACUGGUGAAGGUGUUUUACAAAAGUUUCUUAGGCAUAAGUAUCUGAGAAAAUUUCACCUGCUCAGUAUCAUUUUUUACAUGGGCUGAUGAAAGAACUAGAUUUUCAGAAGAUUUAUGGAUAGAGGAUGCUGUUUUAGGUGCCAAGCUAGUACUCCAUGUUAUACGAUUUAUCUUUGUGUGAGCAUAUCUCUGUAGCUAGAGUGCUAGGCACUAAUGCCAGUGCUCUAAAAUUUACAAGGAAUAUAUAUAUGCUGAUACUGCUGGGCUGUGGCAUCAAUUAUUUGCUGAUUCUGAAAGUUUUUGUGUGAGAAAUAAGCAAGAUUCAUAGUACAUGGAUUUUAGAGACGAACGGGUUAUUUUCUGUGCAUUCUAUGUAUAUAGCUUUGAAAGCUCAGCAGAUGAAAUGACCUUGUAGAAAAUUUUGGUAUGUAAAAGUUCUACUGAAGAUCAAAGUAUUUCUGCGCUUAACAUUCAGAAAUAGUAUCUUAAGUUCUUAACAAGAGAUAAUCUGAAUCAUCUAUAGUGGUAGUUUGGUACAGGAAAAUUGACUAUCUUUUUUUGCAGUAGAGAAGAGUAAGGGGAUCAUAUGUUUUUUACGUGUUUCGUUGCUCGUUAUAUUUGGAACACUGCAUGGUGUGCUUUUUGUUUCAUACAGUUCUUGUUAGCAUGGAGGGACACCUGUGAUCGGGUAAUGAGUUUCACGGGUAAAGAUAGGAAUCUGGUUUCUGCUGGGGUAGCGGCAGUUAUUUGGUCUAUUUGGGAAAGAAACAAAGGAAUGAUGCAUGCUUCAGAAGUAUUUUCACCAUGGAUCCCAGCGGUUUAGUUGGUAAAGUUUUAUAGUUGAUGUUUAAUUGAUCUAGCUGAGAAGAAAGUGUUACUAUGGUUAAAAUUCAGAAAUACUAGCAUCUUAAGCAGAGGCAGUCUGAAUCUUAUAGGUAGUGUGGUACAGAGAAAUUGUCUUUCUUGCUGUAGAAAAGACUCGGUGCACAAUAUCUCCUUUUAAUUGUCCAGUUGCUCGUUAUAGUGUUUGGAAUAAUGUGCAGUGUGCCUUUUGUUUUGGUACAGUUCCUGUUAGUAUGGAGGGACUUUGUGAUUGAAUGAUAAAUUUCUGGUAGUGUAUCGACAGUUAUUUGUUUUUUUUUAAAAAGCGAGGAUAAUUGCUUGCUUCAGAAAUAUUUUCACUAUGGAUCCCAGCUAUGUAGUUAGUAAGGUUGCAUACUGGAUGUUUUGUCUAGCUACAGAGAAUUGACUUUCCCUCAAACAAAAAACAGAGAAUUGACUUGUGCAAUCUGCAGGUAGCAGUAGCAGGGACGCGCAGGUUACUGCUGGUGUCAUUGGAGAGAUGUUCCGGAAACGUCGGGGCGGUGCCGAUUUAUGCGAAGAAUUGAAGAUUGAAAAGUUUCGAGCUACGCUGGAAGUUAAUUGUGUGAUGAGCUUAUUUUAAAUGACAGUAGCUUGCAGAAAUUGGGAUUGUUUGGUUUUUGUAACAGACUAAGUAAAGGUGUUGGAGUGAGUUGAUCUCUUGCAAGGAUAGCUUGCUUUGAUUUGGCUGAAAGCCAUCGUUGUUGCUCUGUUUUGCAUGUUGUUACAUUACAUGGGAGGACCAGUCCAUGUCAUGCUGGUGUUUGUUUUUCUUCACACAUAUUUACUAAGUUGCAUACUGGACGUGUAUUAUCAUAUUUGUAAUGACUGAAAUUCAGGGCUUCAUUGUGGGAUUUGUUACUUGAGAAAAUAGUUACUAAGUAGUUCUACCAACGUGUCUCUCUAUGUUACAUACAAAAUGAAAAGGGUGCUUCCAGCUAAUGGAAAUACAGUAACUCUGAUUACUCGCUACUUUAUACCCGGUAUAUAAAAAAGACUGAACUUGUCCGUCUUGGCCGAGACUUCAUCCGUGCACUAAACUGCCUCUCUUUCUUCACCCAAAGGACAAGCCGUCGUUCGCCGUUGCUAUGGACCUCGCCGCCUCCAAAUAGGUGACUGCAGGCGCCGCCCUCAGCAUCGUGGUGUCAGGUGAGUCCGAGGCACAACCUGACUCUCGCUGUUGUCAUCUGUCUCCUUCCAUUACUUUCCUGUCAGUGGUGGUGUCUCAAGCACUGCACGGAAGGUGUUUGACAAAAUGACCAAGUAAGAUAAGAAUGGCCCUCGCUGUUGCCAUCCGUCUCCUUCCAUCAACCCUACUGUACAUUUCAGUGGUGACGGCUCAGUCACUGCACGGAAGGUGUUUGACGAAAUGACAAGGUAAGAUAAGAAUCGCUUUCACAGUACUACUAAGUACUACUAUCUGUGUUUUCCUUUCUCUCUGUAAUGUACCAACGUGAGUCUAACAUUUCAAAUGUGGUCUGUGACAGCACCGAGUCAGCUCCAUCUGCAUGGCGUGCAGAUUGUGCUGUGCCGAUUUGCUGGAGAACGACACCUCGGCCUGCUACAAGAAACAGAAGCUGCUUCCUGGAAGCACUCGGGUUACUUGACGAAAUGCACAGCAGAGAGAAGAAACCGCGGUCGAUCACAACGACGCCAUCUGCGUAACAUAUCGUAACAACUUGCUUGCCUUCACUUUCUUCAUAUAUUUCUGUCUGUAUAUUUCUGUCAAUAGAUUCAUGUGGUGUGGGGAUGCAUGUUUUGUAGCAUGUCUAGAUAAAGUUACCACCAUGACAUAUAUUUUACCACUAACUCUCAUGUUUUGGAUUCUUUUACCCAAAGGGGAUUCGAUGUACAUCUGGGCGUUGGAAAGUUGAUUAUUCAUGUCCAUUGACAUUGUUCCUUUUCAUCAGUCACGCCAUAUCUUGACCUUGUUCAGCUUUUUCAUAUGUUCCAUAAGUUGCAAAAUUACCCAACCUUGUCGGCAACAACUCCCGAAAUGACCUCCAACAUACAUUCGUCUGGCAGCCUCUCUGUCUUUACUGGGUCUUGAAGCUUAAACUUUCCAAUUAGAUGAAUCAAACAGGGUAGUCCAAUAGUUUUCACUGUGAGCGCGUUUACCCUUGUCUUGUUUACAUCAAAGUGUCUAUAACAACUUUAGUUUUGCAAUUUCCUUAGGAAUCAUUGUGAUAUUGGGCCCAAGGUUUAUCUCAGAUUUCAUAGCUUGCAUAUCUCUUUAAGAUGCCAAUCUUUCACAUCAAUGCACCCUUCCAGGUCCAACACCCGUGUAAGUUUGUAUUUGUUGAAGUUGGAAAUAGCGUCACCUGUAUUCCCCAUGACCGUCAGAGACUGGAGACGAGAUAAAUAUAUGUCAGGCACCGUUUCGGAAUUUGCACUGUUGCUACCAUGGAUAAAGAAGUGAUGAACUUUUUUGUGCUGAGCACCAGAGGGCAUGAUGAAUUUCUUAGACAUGGAUUUGUGCAAUAUGAACAUGUGCAUGAUACCAAUGAGCUUUGCACGUCUUCCCUGUGCCAUUGCUGAUUGGAGAAACAGGCAGAAUGAUACUCCGGCUCAUAAAUGUCUUGAAGUUAUCAUCAGCUACAGUUUGGUGCCUGCCUUGAUGAUGGUGUGCAUUUCCUUCAGCCAACCAUCGCCUGAUUAUGACAUUCUUCCUGAAGGGAUGAUCGAUUGGGAAUAUACCUAGAUACAGCAAGCAAGACCUGCCAGACCGGUGUAAUUUCCCCUAAGCACACCUCGAAGCAUUGCAAAGUUAGGCUUGUCGUCCUUGUGUACCAGAUAUGUACCUUGGUCAUUGGACAAUUUGUUGCAGAAUUUCCCCAUUGGUACAUUUUCACAACUUAAUUGGCAGGCCACACUAUACAGAGCAAGCAGAAGACUGCCACAUUUCUUCAGGAGUUUUGCCGCACCCAACCUGACUCCGGUGUACAUCUUCCCAAGAGAGCUACUUUUCGAGAAUCUUCUUCUCCAAGACAUCUCAUGUUGUACACAUGACCUAAGGUACAUCUAUCAUCUUCCUCAUGUUAAAAGAAGAACAAAACUUCAAUGUUUAGAUAUUGGUCUCUUUUUUGGCGUGUUGUUGAAGAUGCUCUUAGAGGAUUCAUUACAUUGCAUCGGACUACCAAAAGAUCAUACUAUUUCAUUGUAGUUUAGCGUCCGGCAACCAAAACAGACACUAGUUCAACACCGAAAAAGACAAUUCUACUACUAGUUAUAUAUACACGAAACUAAGGACAAGAUAGAAUUCACAUGCAUGGUGUGUUGCCCUUCCCAUUGUCGUCUCUGCAACUACUGCAGUACAUGGCGAAGACCACAUAGGGGUUGUUCGGGCAUCAGAGAAGGACGGGGUGUAGCGCAGCCCAACGAGAUGUCUGGCGUGCUUUGGCCGUGGACGCCUCUUUCUCAGUCGUCGGCCGCCUGGGCACCUCAAUUCCCUCUGGCAAUGCUUUCACGUUCUUACGAUGGCAGCGAUGGGCGUCUGUCUCGACGGAGGUUAUCUGGCACAGGACUUCCAGCGGACGACCUGGUCGUCAUUGAAGAAGGACGACAAACAGACAAUUAGAGUGGAGCCGCACAGGUUAGUUCGCUCUCCGGGUCUUCUCCCGAGCACGCCGAGCUGCCCGUGCCUCAGACUUAGGAGCCGCCGCUGGCUCGGAUGGCGUGGCACGAGCAGCUAUGGGUUACUGAGAGUGUGUGCCGAUGGUGACACGUCGAAGCUACACGAUCGACAUUGGUCCACAAGGGACAGUACAGAGUGCCUCCACCCGUAGCUGCCUCUGCGGCUGCAUUCACCCUGGCAAGCGGCCAAGGGGGGAGGGGGGUGCGGCGCGAAGCUCGAAGAGCCGCCCUUGUCCACCACGAGUGGCGGAGGGCGAGGUCCUCAUUGCAUGACAUCGAGCUCGAAUCCUCAGCUGCGAGCGCAUACCAAUCAGUUGGGUUGGCCUCGCUUGCUGAGCAGGCCAUACUAGAGCGGAGGGCGACAAGGAGGGGAGGGGAAGGGAGCGGAGUGGAGUGGUCGAGAGUGAGGACUAGGAUGUGGUAUAUGUGUGGUUCUUACUUGGCAGUCGUGUCUAGACCGCCUCAUAUUCACCCCAGAUAUGGCUAGGUUUGAAGGCUGCUGGACUUCCCUAACGUUUGGAUUGGCUAUGACGGGCAUGUUAGGUGGCUACUUUUGGUCAGGGUUGUUCGCUCGAACAUUUGAGGAGGAUUUGAGGGGUCUGGUUGUAAGUGCUCUUUCUGUAGUAGAAUAUAAGUAUAUUUUUGUUAUUUUGCUCUAUGAAGUUACCUCGGCAUCCAUGCGAAAAAUAUAUUCGAGGAGGUGGGACUAGUUAAGAGUCAUUUCAUUUUUCAACUACAAAAGGCAGGUACUAAAAGAAUAUAACUGGUUGGUGAUGAUUCCCUCUGAACGAAAUUGCUUGGUGAAGGGACUACUUAAAGAUCCGUUUCAAAAUUUGGAUUUUAUUGGCCACUAAUUUUACUAAUGCGGGUUUAAUCGCAUUUAUCAGUUAAUGAUGCUAGUAAGGGCAUCUCCAAUAGCUAUAAGAUGGAUGUCGGUAAAUUUGCCAUAUAAACAUCUUUUGAGGUGUCAAUUAAUAAAUAAAGAGAGAGUGAGUUUGUAUGGACAUGAACCAACAACUUGUGCACAAGGUCCAAGACAAAGAAAGAGUGCAAGCUUCCAUAUUCUCUCACCUCCUAUUUGUUAAUCUUACAGACAACCAUUGGAGUACUUGUAUGAUACGUACAUUGUUGGUUGAUGACAUGGUUAUAUUUACCAACAAAUUAACUCAUAAGUUGUUUGAGAUGCGCUAACAAGUUGUUGAUGGCAUGAAUGUAUUUACCACUGUUCAUUAGCUUUAUAAGUCGCGCACGCGCAAUUUGACAAGGAAAAUAUAUCUUUAAAUUUGUCUUCAGACGAAGUUUCUAACCAUAUAUUUUUCGGCAUAUUAUACAUAUUUUGUUAGUCCAAUCAAAGAUCUGAACCCCCGAUUUCAUAAACCCAACCAGUUUGGAACCGGUAAUAAUUGAGUUCCUCCAACCAGUUUGAGAUUGGGGCGCGUUUCUUUGGGUCUCGGGUGCCGAUGCAUCCGAGCUGAGAAAAAUAAUUUAGAAAUUGCAAAAAAAGUGAAAAAAAUCAUGAUUUCCUUAGAACAGACAUGAUAUUGCGUUACACUCAUGUGAAAAGAUUCACGAAUGAAUGACUUUCAUGUACUCUGGGCGAAAGAAACCAAAAUGGACACUAUAUAAAAGUUACUAUUUACGCUUUUAUACUCACAAAUUUCUCUUUUGCCCUGAAGUCAUUCUUUCGCGAAACUUUCUAUACGAAUAUAACACUAUAUCAAGUAUAUUUUCAAAAUUUUCUACAAUUUUGUGAUCUUUUUUGCAAUUUCUAAAUUAUUUUUUCAGUAAUGUGUUUGCCAGUUCUUAGAAUAUCGCUCGUAACAUAAAUUUUUGUAACCCGAUCAUCCUUCGUUCACCCCGUUUUAUGUAUGUUUCCCCUACGUCUACUAGUUUAGAAUUUUUUUGCUCCCACCUCUGGUGUUUUCCACCCGUUUUGAUAACCGGCUCAACAGCCCCAUAAAAUCUUGUUUUUUUGCAAGCAAUCACAUUAAUAAUAACAUGCCAGGUAAAUAACUGACUAACCUAUUAGAAGAUUUAUGCCCUCAUUGCAACGCAUGGGCAAUUAUCUAGUGUGACAAUAAAAAAGGAGAGAAUAUAAAGUCACAAAAACGUAGUAAGAAGUACCACAAACAAGGGAGAGGAGAAAAUAAUUUAAGGACAAACUACUAGUUGGCACUUUGUACACUAUAAAAUUAUCCAUUUAGUUGCACCUAAAGUAGAUAGUCUUGUACAAUCUAGAAAAUUUGUCAAGGUAUAUCCUAGAUUCAUACACUAUUUUUUUAUCAGUUUCCAGAUAUUGAUAAUGGUAAUAUAUUAAUAUCGAAAUGAUACUCGGUACAUUCAUCAUCCAAAUGACACAUAUAGAGAGUUAGCAAGACAUCAAGGAUGCAUAUGCUAUAUAAAUGCAAAAAAUCUGACAUGACUAAAAGGGCUUUGUAACGAUAAUAUUGGAUAGGAAAAAAAUAUGUAUCUAAAUAAACAUUGGCAUGUACUAUCUUUUAUAUCAAAAUAAUUUAUCAAUAAUUUUUUUCAAUUUAACCACAAGAUGAUUUACGACUAAAUAAAGAAGUUCAAUAUAAAAUAGGUGAUAAUUCAAUGCACCAAACAUAUUGACCAUAUUUGAGCAUAAUAUUUCAAAAGGAUGUUUUAUCUGCUUUUUACGUUGCUCUUCCUUAUGAGUUUUGUUAUGAUUUUUAUUUGAAAAUAGACCCACAAAAUUUAGUAAAGUAUCAAAGGGGAGCAAUUAAGCAAGGGCAAGGGGCAGUGUUGGGUUUAAUAUCAAAACUGGUAAAAUAUUAACAGGUUUAGGCAUUAGUAAUAAUUACAUUAUGUCUUCAUAUCUGUCUGCAUAUCUUACCAUCUGAAGAAAAUAUGCUUAGAUGUAUGGGGACAGCUUAUAUUUCCUUUGAACAAACGGCUAUCUCCGUCUUCACUUCAGCUGCAACGAUAGAAAUGUCACCAUGAGCCGAGUAUCAUCACGAUAAACUAGAAUAAAAUGAAUAAAAAUAGCACUUGACAGAAUUUCAGGGAAAUAGAUUUGUGGAAUUACCAAAACACGUGUAUUUUUUACUUUCCUCAUCAUGUAAAAACCCAGCAUACUCUUAAAUUCCAUCAAUUUUAUGAAGCUGCACUAUCAGGGGAGGCGCGUGACAAUGCCCUUGGGUAGGAAAUCUUUUCCAACAAGGCACUCCAGCACUAAAGAUUUGUCGGCACCCUGCCAUAUAAUCAGAAGUUUCAAAUGUUAGGACAAAUACUAGGUACUCAAAAAACAGACAGAAUUGUGUGGUUCUUUUAGGCAAUCAGACCGUCACACUAUCCUAAUAUCUCUACGGGGAACUAAACUAAACUAACAGAUUCAAACAAACCAUUAACAGCCAGCAUAGCAUCCCAUGCCUCUAGUUUAUCCUAAAUACCAGAUCCAGAUGCAACAAUAGAUCUCUAGGACCUCUAGGCACGAGAUUUAGAUGCAACGACAAUUCCCCUAGGCGAGAUCCAAGCAUAUAACUGUGCGUCUCUGGAACUAAACUCUAUUGGUUCUCAGUCAGGAUCACAUGAUGACGACGAUGAACGCACACACGCGAGAGAGUCACACGUGAACACACAGGAACGAGAGUAUUUUUGCGACGCACUGAUUCAGCGUCUUUUCUGUUUCUUUCCUUUAUUCGUUUGGAAAUAGACUAAGAGCAUCUCUAGCAGACCCGUAUAAUGCCUCGACCCGUAAAAUAACCACCAAAAUACGGGUCCGCACAGAAAAUGUUGCCCGAUCAGACCCCGCAAACGCGUCGGAGCCGUAAAUUUUUUUGCAGGGCGCGACAUAAUUCCCACCCCAACCAGCGAAAAUGCGGGUUCUCUACCUCGCCCCAUCGGUGCCCUGUAUAUAGCGGUUAGCGGGGGGGGGGGGCAUUUCAGCCCGCGCUUUUCCCCACCCAUUGCCGCCCCUCUCCCUGAUACGUCUCCAACAUAUCUAUAAUUUUUGAUUGUUCCAUGCUAUUAUUUUACCCCUUUUGGAUGUUUAUGGGCUUUAUUUUACACAUUUAUAUUAUUUUUGGGACUAACCUAUUAACCGGAGGCCCAGCCCAUAUUACUGUUUUAUUGCCUGUUUCAGUAUUUCGAAGAAAAGGAAUAUCAAACGGAGUCCAAACGGAAUGAAACCUUUGGCAGCGUGAUUUUUGGGAAGAAUAUGAUCCGGGAGACUUGGAGUUCACGUCAGAAGAUCCUCGAGGUGGCCAAGAGGGUGGAGGCCCCCCCCCUACUGGGCGUGCCCCCUACCUCCUGGGCCCCUCGAGGCUCCCCCGACCGACUUCUUUCGCCUAUAUAGUCCCACGUACCCUAAAAACAUCCACGGAGAAGAUAGAUUGGGAGUUCCGCCGCCGCAAGCCUCUGUAGCCACCAAAAACCUCUCGGGAGCCCGUUCCGGCACCCUGCCGAAGGGGGAACCCAUCACCGGUGGCCAUCUUCAUCAUCCCGGCGCUCUUCAUGACGAGGAGGGAGUAGUUCACCCUCGGGGCUGAGGGUAUGUACCAGUAGCUAUGUGUUUGAUCUCUCUCUCUCUCUCUCUCACUCUCACUCUCUCUCGUGUUCUCGACUUCACACGAUCUUGAUGUAUCGCGAGCUUUGCUAUUAUAGUUGGAUCUUAUGAUGUUUCUCCCCCUCUACUCUCUUGUGAUGAAUUGAGUUUCCCUCUUGAAGUUAUCUUAUCGGAUUGAGUCUUUAAGGAUUUGAGAACACUUUAUGUAUGUCUUGCCGUGUUUAUCUGUGGUGACAAUGGGAUAUCACGUGCCACUUGAUGUAUGUUUUGGUGACCAACUUGCGGGUUUCGCCCAUGAACCUAUGCAUAGGGGUUGGCACACGUUUUCUUAACUCUCCGGUAGAAACUUUGGGGCACUCUUUGAAGUACUUUGUGUUGGUUGGAUGAAUCUGAGAUUGUGUGAUGCAUAUCGUAUAAUCAUGCCCACGGAUACUUGAGGUGACAGUGGAGUAUCUAGGUGACAUUAGGGUUUUGGUUGAUUUGUGUCUUAAGGUGUUAUUCUAGUAUGAACUCUAUGAUAGAUUGAGCGGAAAGAAUAGCUUCAUGUUAUUUUACUACGAACUCUUGAAUAGAUAGAACAGAAAGAAUAACUUUGAGGUGGUUUCAUACCCUACCAUAAUCUCUUCGUUUGUUCUCCGCUAUUAGUGGCUUUGGAGUGACUCUUUGUUGCAUGUUGAGGGAUUGUUAUAUGAUCUAUCUAUGUUAUUAUUGUUGAGAGAACUUGCAGUAGUGAAAGCAUGAACCCUAGGCCUUGUUUCCUAUCAUUGCAAUACCGUUUACGCUCACUUUUAUUAUUAGUUACCUUGCUGUUUUUAUAUUUUCAGAUUACAAAUACUCAUAUCUACCAUCCAUAUUGCACUUGUAUCAUCAUCUCUUCGCCGAACUAGUGCACCUAUACAAUUUGCCAUUGUAUCGAGUGUGUUGGGGACACAAGAGACUCUUUGUUAUUUGGUUGCAGGGUUGCUUGAGAGAGACCAUUUUCAUCCUACGCCUCCCAUGGAUUGAUAAACCUUAGGUCAUCCACUUGAGUGAAAUUUGCUACUCUCCUACAAACCUGUGCACUUGCAGGCCCAACAACGUCUACAAGAAGAAGGUUGUGUAGUAGACAUCAAGCUCUUUUCUGGCGCCGUUGCCGGGGAGGUGAGUGCUUGAAGGUAUAUCUUUAGAUCUUGCAAUCGAAUCUUUUUGUUUCUUGUUUUAUCACUAGUUUAGUUUAUAAAAGAAAACUACAAAAAAAUGGAAUUGAGUUUGUCUCGUACGCUUCAUCUUUUUAAUAUCUUUCGUAAGUAUGAUGAAAAGGAAAAUUGUGCUCAAGUGCUAGAAGAAGAAUUACAUAGAAUGCUUGGCAUAAAAUAUGUGAAUGAUGAGCAUGAUUGCAAUGUUGUUAGUAUGAAUUCUAUGAAUAUCCAUGAUGCUAAUGAUAUGCAAAGCCACAAGCUUGGGGAUGCUAUGUUUGAUGAAGAUGAUGUUUUUUGUCCCCCCAAGUUUUGAUGAGCAAAUUUACUAUGAUGAAAGCAUGCCCCCUAUCUAUGAUGAUUAUUGUGAUGACAUCUAUGCUAUACAGAAAAAUGAUAACCAUGAAACUUGUCAUCUUGAUCUUAAUUUUCAAUCACAUGAUAGUUGCUUUGUUGAGUUUGCUCCCACUAUUAUACAUGAGAAGAAUUUUGCUUAUGUGAAGAGUAGUAAAUUUUCUAUGCAAGUAGAUCAUGAAAAGAAUGUUUUAGGUACUGGUUAUAUUGUUGAAUUCAUUCAUGAUGCUACUAAACAUUAUUAUGAGGGAGGAAUCUAUCCUUGUAGGAAUUGCAAUAAUGUCAAGUUUCCUCUCUAUGUGCUGAAAAUUUUGAAGUUAUGCUUGUUUUGCCUUCCUAUGCUAGUUGAUUAUUGUUCCCAUAAGUUGUUUGCUCACAAAAUCCCUAUGCAUAGGAAGUGGCUUAAAUGUGCUAGUCAGAAGCUUCAUGAUGCUCCCGUUAUGUUUCAAUUUCUAUCUUUUAUGUGAGCAUCAUUUUCAUCAUCAUGCCUAGCUAGGGGCGUUAAACGAUAGCGCUUGUUGGGAGGCAACCCAAUUUUAUUUUAGUUUCUUGCUUUUUGGUUCUGUUUAGUAAUAAAUAAUCCAUCUAGUUUUUGUUUAGAUGUGGUUUUGUGUUUUAAUUCGUGUUUGUGCCAAGUAAAACCUUUCGGAAGACUUGGGUGAAGUCUUUAUGAUCAUGCUGUAAAAAACAGAAACUUUAGCGCUCACGAGAUUAGCUUCCACUUUUUACUGGAGAGUGCUAUUUAGUUGAUUCUUUUUGCAGAUGAUUACUAGACAAAUUCCUCAGGUCCACCAAUUUAUUUAAAUUUUUGGAGUUACAGAAGUUUGCGUUAGUUACAGAUUACUACAGACUGUUCUGUUUUUGACAGAAUCUGUUUUUCGUGUGUUGUUUGCUUAUUUUGAUGCAUCUAUGGCUAGUAAAAUAGUUUAUAAACCAUAGAGAAGUUGUAAUACAGUAGGUUUAACACCAAUAUAAAUAAAGAAUUAGUUCAUUACAGUACCUAAUGUGGUGGUUUUGCUUUCUUUCGCUAACGGAGCUUACGAGUUUUCUGUUGAGUUUUGUGUUGUGAAGUUUUCAAGUUUUGGGUAAAGAUUCAAUGGACUAUGGAAUAAGGAGUGGCAAGAGCCUAAGCUUGGGGAUGCCCAAGGCACCCCAAGGUAAUAUUCAAGGACAACCAAGAUCCUAAGCAUGGGGAUGCCCCGGUAGGCAUCCCACCUUUCUUCUUCGACAACUAUCGGUUAGUAUCGGUUGAGCCUAAGUUUUUGCUUCUUCACAUGCGUCGUGCUAUCCUUGCAAUGUCAUUUUGUUUUGCUUUGCUUGCUGAUUGAAUAAAAUACCAAGAUCUGCAAUUCUUAAAUGUUAGAGAGUCUUCGGAUAGUUGCACAAUUACUCGACUACUCAUUGAUCUUCACUUAUAUCUUUCGGAGUAGUUUGUCUUUUGCUCUAGUGCUUCACUUAUAUCUUUUAGAGCACGGUGGUGGUUAUAUUUUGAAGAAAUUGUUGAUCUCUCAUGCUUCACUUAUAUUAUUUUGAGAGUCUUUUAGAACAGCAUGGUAUUUGCUUUGGUUAUAAAUUUGGUCCUAGAAUGAUGAGCAUCCAAGUUGGGUAUAAUAAAAAACUAUCAUAGAAAGUGAAUUGGAUGCUAUGAUCAAUUUGAUGCUUGAUAAUUGUUUUGAGAUAUGGAGGUAGUGAUAUUAGAGUCAUGCUAGUUGGGUGAUUAUGAAUUUAAAGAAUACUUGUGUUGAAGUUUGUGAUUCCCGUAGCAUGCACGUAUGGUGAACCACUUUGUGAUGAAGUCGGAGCACGAUUUAUUUAUUGAUUGUCUUCCUUAUGAGUGGCGGUCGGGGACGAGCGAUGGUAUUUUCCUACCAAUCUAUCCCCCUAGGAGCAUGCGCGUAGUACUUUGUUUUUGAUGACUUCUAGAUUUUUGCAAUAAGUAUAUGAGUUCUUUUGACUAAUGUUGAGUCCAUGGAUUGUACGCACUCUCACCCUUCCACCAUUGCUAGCCUCUCUUGUUCCGCGCAACUUUCGUCGGUACCAUACACCUACCAUAUACCUUCCUGAAAACAGCCACCAUACCUACCUAUCAUGGCAUUUCCAUAGCCAUUCCGAGAUAUAUUGCCAUGCAACUUUCCACCGUUCCGUUCAUAUGACACGCAUUACUUUUGUCAUAUUGCUCUUUGCAUGAUCAUGUAGUUGACAUUAUAUUUGUGGCAAGGCCACUUUCAUAAUUUUCAUACAUGUCGCUCUUGAUUCAUUGCAUAUCCCGGUACACCGCCGGAGGCAUUCAUAUAGAGUCAUAUCUUGUUUUAGAUUUGAGUUGUAACUCUUGAGUUGUAAAUCCAUAAAAGUGUGACGAUCUUCAUUAUUAGAGCAUUAUCCUAGUGAGGAAAGGAUGAUGAAGACUAUGAUUCCCCCACAAGUCGGGAUGAGACUUCGUACUUUAAAAGGAAAAAAAAAGAGGAAAAAAAAGAAGAGAAAGGCCAAAGAAAAAAAAAGAAAAAAAGAAAAAAAAGAAAAAAAUAAAAAUGAGAGAAAAAGAGAGAAGGGACAAUGCUACUAUCUCUUUUUCCACACUUGUGCUUCAAAGUAGCACCAUGAUCUUCAUGAUAGAGAGUCUCAUAUGUUAUCACUUUCAUAUAUUAGUGGGAAUUUUUCAUUAUAGAACUCGGCUUGUAUAUUCCAAUGAUGGGCUUCCUCAAAUUGCCCUAGGUCUUCGUGAGCAAGCGAGUUGGAUGCACACCCACUUAGUUUCUUUUGUUGAGAUUUCAUAUAUUUAUAGCUCUAGUGCAUCCGUUGCAUGGCAAUCCCUACUCACUCACAUUGAUAUCUAUUAAUGGGCAUCUCCAUAGCCCGUUGAUAUGCCUAGUUGAUGUGAGACUAUCUUCUUCCUUUUUGUCUUCCCCACAACUACCAUUCUACUCCACAUAUAGUGCUAUGUCCAUGGUUCAUGCUCAUGUAUUGCGUGAAAGUUGAAAGAGUCUGAGAUUAUUAAAGUAUGAAACAAUUGCUUGGCUUGUCAUCGGGGUUGUGCAUGAUUAAAUACUUUGUGUGAUGAAGAUAGAGCUUAGCCAGACUAUAUGAUUUUGUAGGGAUAACUUUCUUUGGCCAUGUUAUUUUGAGAAGACAUGAUUACUUUGAUUAGUAUGCUUGAAGUAUUACUAUUUUUAUGUCAAUAUGAACUUUUAUUUUGAAUCAUUUGGAUCUGAACAUUCAUGCCACAAUAAAAAAAUUACAUUGAGAAUUAUGCUAGGUAGCAUUCCACAUCAAAAAUUCUGUUUUUAUCAUUUACCUACUCGAGGACGAGCAGGAAUUAAGAUUGGGGAUGCUUGAUACGUCUCCAACGUAUCUAUAAUUUUGAUUGUUCCAUGCUAUUAUAUUACCCCUUUUGGAUGUUUAUGGGCUUUAUUUUACACAUUUAUAUUAUUUUUGGGACUAACCUAUUAACCGGAGGCCCAGCCCAUAUUACUGUUUUAUUGCCUGUUUCAGUAUUUCGAAGAAAAGGAAUAUCAAACGGAAUCCAAACGGAAUGAAACCUUUGGCAGCGUGAUUUUUGGGAAGAAUAUGAUCCGGGAGACAUGGAGUUCACGUCAGAAGAUCCUCGAGGAGGCCAGGAGGGUGGAGGGCCCCCCUACUGGGCGCGCCCCCUACCUCCUGGGCCCCUCGAGGCUCCCCCGACCGACUUCUUUCGCCUAAAUAGUCCCACAUACCCUAAAAACAUCCACGGAGAAGAUAGAUUGGGAGUUCCGCCGCCGCAAGCCUUUGUAGCCACCAAAAACCUCUCGGGAGCCCGUUCCAGCACCCUGCCGGAGGGGGAACCCAUCACCGGUGGCCAUCUUCAUGAUCCCGGCGCUCUCCAUGACAAGGAGGGAGUAGUUCACCCUCGGGGCUGAGGGUAUGUACCAGUAGCUAUGUGUUUGAUCUCUCUCUCUCUCUCUCGUGUUAUCGACUUCACACGAUCUUGAUGUAUCGCGAGAUUUGCUAUUAUAGUUGGAUCUUAUGAUGUUUCUCCCCCUCUACUCUCUUGUGAUGAAUUGAGUUUCCCUCUUGAAGUUAUCUUAUCGGACUGAGUCUUUAUGGAUUUGAGAACACUUGAUGUAUGUCUUGUCGUGUUUAUCUGUGGUGACAAUGGGAUAUCACGUGCCACUUGAUGUAUGUUUUGGUGACCAACUUGCGGGUUCCGCCCAUGAACCUAUGCAUAGGGGUUGGCACACGUUUUCUUAACUCUCCGGUAGAAACUUUGGGGCACUCUUUGAAGUACUUUGUGUUGGUUGGAUGAAUCUGAGAUUGUGUGAUGCAUAUCGUAUAGUCAUGCCCACGGAUACUUGAGGUUACAAUGGAGUAUCUAGGUGACAUUAGGGUUUUGGUUGAUUUGUGUCUUAAGGUGUUAUUCUAGUAUGAACUCUGUGAUAGAUUGAGCGGAAAGAAUAGCUUCAUGUUAUUUUAGUACGAACUCUUGAAUAGAUAGAACAGAAAGAAUAACUUUGAGGUGGUUUCAUACCCUACCAUAAUCUCUUCGUUUGUUCUCCGCUAUUAGUGGCUUUGGAGUGACUCUUUGUUGCAUGUUGAGGGAUUGUUAUAUGAUCUAUCUAUGUUAUUAUUGUUGAGAGAAUUUGCAGUAGUGAAAGUAUGAACCCUAGGCCUUGUUUCCUAUCAUUGCAAUACCGUUUACGCUCACUUUUAUUAUUAGUUACCUUGCUGUUUUUAUAUUUUCAGAUUACAAAUACUCAUAUCUACCAUCCAUAUUGCACUUGUAUCACCAUCUCUUCGUUGAACUAGUGCACCUAUACAAUUUGCCAUUGUAUCGGGUGUGUUGGGGACACAAGAGACUCUUUGUUAUUUAGUUGCAGGGUUGCUUGAGAGCGACCAUCUUCAUCCUACGCCUUCCACGGAUUGAUAAACCUUAGGUCAUCCACUUGAGGGAAAUUUGCUAUUGUCCUACAAACCUGUGCACUUGCAGGCCCAACAACGUCUACAAGAAGAAGGUUGUGUAGUAGACAUCACCCUCGCCCCACGCAUUUUCCCACCCACCACCGCCGGGCUGCCGCCUACGAUUCCGGCCAUACCAGCCGUCGGACCGCCACACGUCAGAGAUUGUCUACCGCCACUUCCCCCUGCCUCGGCCGGCCGGAAAGUUGCAGAUCGGCGGUUGUUUAUCGCAGCCGCCGGAUUUGGCAUUUCAAGCCACCAGUGGCCGCGUCAAGCCAUGGAUUGGUCGGGAAGCACCCUGACCAGCCCUGGCAAAGCCCUAGUGCCACAUGCAGGUACUGGUUCGUCCUCUAGCCGCCGCCGUCGGUUUGCCUGCAAGGACUCGGCCGGCCGUCGCCCGGGCUCUGCGCUCGCGCAGCACCUCGCCGACUCGCUGAUGCCGCUCAUACAGCGCGACAACUGCACGCAGACAGUGCUGCGGCUAACAUCUAGCAUGCCAAAACACCCCGGAUGGAUAUUCUUCAAAUGCGAAAACGACGUGGUAUGUUCUUGUUUUCAUUCAGCUUUUUCACCCUAUUCGGUUCAAUUUCGAUAGCUUAUUGAGAUGGACAUGUGUGUAGGAAGGUGUAUGCUCAUUUUGGUUUUGGAAAGAAGAAUACAUUGAUUUAUUGUUGGAAUGAAACUUAAUAGAUGUUUGUGCACUCGUUGAUAGAAAGGCUAAUGAUGCAGCUGCAUGUGCAAUUAGAGAAGAAACUAGAGGGGAAGCAACGUCUACUUCUUUAGAAUCAAAGAAGAAGAAUGAAGAAUGCAAGAUUAAGAAUCCGCAGUUCAACAAUGAAGGCAUGGAGAAGAUAUUGGUCCAACUAGUGAGAUCAGUUAUGGAAGUUGGAUAUCUUCUAAAAUGCCUAGUUGUGGUUCUUGUUUUCUUUGGUCUUACUAUUCUAGCAAAGAUUUGAUGAAUUACUAUGUAUCUAAUGCUAUUGAAGAAAAUAGAAAAGCAAAGAAAUAUGUUUUCAUAACUGAAAUUGAAAUGCAAAUUACUGAUUUAUAGGCCGGUGCGGACGGCGGUCGAGCAGACCCGUCCGGUUUGCGGGAUCAGCUCGGCCUUCACCCUCGCCAGCCCGCAAAGCCGGUUUUCGGGAACUGUAUACAUAUUUUACGGGUCGAUGUUUUACGGGGUCUGCUAGAGAUGCUCUAAGAGAAGUGGACCGAAUCCUACGCCACGAUCCCUUUCAAUCGUGCCAUCCCACGAUCUGGUUCUUGUUCGGUCUAACUAGACGCACCACACAUGAACAAGCACAUGUCAGGUUCUCUUAUUUGCUACGUAUAGGAUGUAAAACAGACUAAUGGGCAUGCACGUACACAACAUGGUUACGUGCACAAGAUUUCAACUCGAAUAAAUCUUCUUGAUUUGCAUCAACAAACUCGCGAGAUCCAACCGCAACGGGGGUGUUGGGGCACGCACCUCGACUCCAACGACGGCGACUGAAGGCAGCGCGUCCCAGUCCCAGUCGGCGGGGAGGGCGCUCUUCUCGCCCUCUUCGGCGAGGGCGGUGCAUGCCCGCUGCAGCUUGUCAACGAGGGAUGCGAGACCCUUCCUGGGUGGCGGCGCGAGUUCUGGCCGGACCAGGUCGUCGUGCGGAGGGGUAGGCAUGUUCGUCGGCGCGGGAUCGUGGUAGGGAGGAGACUGCGUAGGGCUAGGGCUAGGCCGGUGUCCAGACCAUCGGGUCGAGGUUGCGUUUCCGGCGUACACCACCAUCAGGCCGGGCCGGCCCUAGCACGAAUAGUGCAAAUUCGUGUCUGGCACGGCAUUUGCCGCCCGUUGCGGCGCUUGCCCCAGACCCCCGUUGACGCAAGGGGUCGGCCCAUUUGCAGCUUUUUCAAUUUUUCUAUUUCUGUUUUGUGUUCGGUUUCCUUUUCCUUUUUUCUUUCAUUUUUAUUUUUAUUUUCGUUUAUCCCACUUGUGUAUGGUUUCAGAAAAAAAAUAAACUCAAAAAAAAUUCUGAAUAAAAAAUGUUUAAAUUUGAUAAUUAUUCAAGUUAAAAGCAUGUUCAUAUUUUUUAAAAAAAUGUUAAUUUAAAACAGUUUAAAUUUUGAAAAAGUUCAGAUUUUGAAACUAUAAAAUAAAAAAUCACAUUGUAAAAAACUGGAACAAAUUGUAGCGGGAAAUGUUAGUAUACCGGCCGAGUGGAUGGUCGCUAAAAAGAACUGAGGAUGUAGAUGAAGGAGCGAAGGGGGAACUAAAUGGGACAAGCCCAUCGUGGUCUCCUUCAUGUGACACGUGCGCAGUGCACCGCUGAAUGCAGCAUAUUGGAGCUCCCGGCUGCCCACAUGCCGAAAAGAAAAAAACACGGGCCGGUAUGAAAUGACACGACCACGGAGGAGGCCAUUUUGGCAUGUCGGGUCGAUUGGCCCUUCGUUUUGGCCUUUUAAAAUAAAAAAUUCAGGAAAAUUGCCAAAAAUAUAAAAUUCAAGAAAUAGGGGUCAAGUGUCAUGUGCGGUAAACAGUGAGCUUUAGUAGGGCACGUACAACAUUGGGUGUUUAACCAGGCGGUAGUGUAAUAUUCUCAGCCAUUAGCCUUUCGAGGUGCGGGGAACCACGAGACCGCACAUCGCUACAGUUAGACUGACCGCACUAGUAAGCCAUGGAGCGUAAUAUUGGGAAUUGUAUUUGUUAUCCUUGAGAUUAAUAAAAUAUUGUCCCCGUCCCCUUUGUUUUCUUUGUGUACCAUGAUACACUCGCACGCCGCAUUAUCUUUUUCCUAGCGCAUGGUAGAAAUCAAACUACUUUUCUUCCAUUCUCACGCAGUGCGAUAUAGAUUUUUCUCGUGUCAAACAAGAAGUAAAAAUUGUUGUGUCCCACUUGUGUGCCUCUCAAACAAAUGGGGAACGUCGGGCAACAAAUGGGUCUUGGGGGUUGAUUUGGUGAAUGCCCUAAGCUCGUGGGGACAACACUGCGCUUUAGAUGUGUCCAUGAUCAAAAUAGCAGACUAUGUUGGGGAUGUGUUUCUUAAACAGGUUUAUGAGAAAUUUAAAUUUAUGAAUGCAAGUUUUGGAUAUAAUCUCAAAAUACUUAUUCCAUUGGCAAAAAGCAUGACUCCCUUAAGAUUUUUUCAUUUCCAUGUUGAUGCGCAAAUUUGAAUUUUUUUUCAUUCCCAUGUUGAUGCGCAAAUUUGAAUCACACAAGACUGUUGAUGUGCAAAUUUGAAUUACACAAGAGUAUGGACAGUUCAUCGCCACCAUUUUAGCUCAGUUACUUUCUUUGAGCCUACCCUCCUACUCUGCCCUAAAAUUACCACUGUGCACAGCCAAACAUAUUUAGUGCAUAAGAAAUGCAUAUUAAAUAGUCUAAUGCAAGAUAUUUUUAAAAAUUGUUGAACAUUUAUUUGAUAUGCAUAGCUACACAUGCUCUUACAAUUUGAGCUACGACCAAACUUAUUUGCAAGGUUCUAAAACCAAGCAAUAAACAGUAACAAAUUGUCAUAAGAAUUAAUCAAACUUUAUCAGUGAUAAACCUAGCAUUACAGCACACCACAGUAUACCUCAGAUCCUACAUAUAUGAGUUAUGCUAGGCAGUAAAUACAAAAUACCAUGAACCUUGGUGAGAGAAAAAACUUGCAAGAACAGAAACUAACUCAUGCAUAUCAUCAUCCUGGAUUAGAAUACAGACGACACACUCCAUUAAUACAAGGAACUAACUGUUCAACAGUUCAGCAAAGCUGAUACUAAUAACUUCAGCUUAAACUGCGGAAAAGAGUUUUAUCUUACAACAACAACAGCAACAGCAAGCCAUCAUCAUGGUUUGUUUGCUUCUAUCGACACGAGACGACACACAACAGGAUAACUAACAAAGUAGUCGCAGCGGCUCUCAACUCGGACAUUUUUACGACAGUAACAGCUUUCUCACUCUCUUCUCUUCUCUAGUGCUAAAUUUGUACAGUGAGCAGAGUAACAUGUUCAAACAUACUCCACCCUCUUCCUCCUAUUUACAGCUUAGUCUCUCAGAUUAGUCUUUGCCUCCUCAGCUACAGAAUGUACACUCUCUCCAGUGCAACCAAGAUUUGUAUCUUAUUCAUGCCCGUACCAUUACUAGUCGAUCUUAUAGGGUUUUUGGUUGUUGUUGGGGGGGAACACG
RNAcentral lists this long non-coding RNA (64180 nucleotides) under Triticum aestivum (bread wheat). Its description in RNAcentral is "long non-coding RNA (TAES_LNC000023)". Lineage: Eukaryota; Viridiplantae; Streptophyta; Magnoliopsida; Poales; Poaceae. The record is from RNAcentral.